Molecule: long non-coding RNA, 53273 nt
Filed under: Citrus maxima (pomelo)
Lineage: Eukaryota; Viridiplantae; Streptophyta; Magnoliopsida; Sapindales; Rutaceae
Description: long non-coding RNA (CMAX_LNC000992)
Source: RNAcentral
GAUGGAUGCUACGACUGCGAAAAUUCAGGGAAUUAUUGUGGGUUCAACACUACAAGCAAUUCGACAAUUUGCGUUGCCGUUAAACACAAAAAACGUAAGUAACCAUAUCUUUUCUCAGUCACCUCUCUCUACAGUGCUUGAAAGUGAAAGCAUCGUCUGUAUAUAGCUAACAAUAAAAAUAAUAAGUUGAAUUUAUUAUCAUUGUUAUAUAUGCUGGAAAAAUGAUCAGAGCAGUGUAACUGAAAAAAAAUAAUAAUAAUUAGGCUUUGCAUUAUUUUUUCAAUUGUAAAAUUGUAAUUACAAUUGCUGGAAGUUAAAAAUUAAAGAAGCCAUCUAUAUUAUUUUAGGUCAGUUUUUUAAAAAUUAAUAAUUUGAACUGAACUUAAAGUCCAAUCAAUCUGGUUUGAUUUAGUUAGGUUUGAUUUAUUUAUUUUUUUCAUUUGACCUGCAAUUUCUUUUGAUGGAUUUUUACUUUCUCUCAUAUAAAUCGAUGGAUUUUUUUUACAAAAAAAAAAAAAAAACUGACGAUUUGUUUUUUUGGCGGCAAUUAUAAUUUUACCCACCUCUAAUCUGUAUGGCGAAUAUCAUUGCUAUAAAGGCUGCUUUCCAGUAUUAUUGCCAGUUGCAAAGUGCUCGAUAAAAUGUUGCUAGCCUGGCUGAUUUGACUGUUUGAAGAAAAACUGAUACUACUCAGGACCAAAUAGAUAGUACUAAUGUUGAUGCUGAAAUCUGCUCGCCCUUUACCGGACCAGAGUUUUCCACCAACGCUUAUAUGCUUAAUGGGAACGAUGUCACUUUCUCCUUGCCUUAACGAUCGCUUACGUCACUGGGUUGGAAUCACCCCUUUUUUAUCUUGCUAAGCCUGCGUUCACAAAGAAUGGAUCAGAGACGCCGGUAGUUUUACCGGCGUAAACCCUUCGAUGCCUAAGUUAGCACAAGGUGUUUACGGGAAAACGGUUCAAUUUAGAUUUUGGAAUGGCUUAAAGUUCACUCUCAGUUUGUGUAGAAAAACAAUCUAGUUUUAAUUUGGCAGAGUUUUCCCUUCUCUAUCAGUUUUUUCAUCCCUUUCUUCAUUGGUUUCUUCAUCUUUUAUAGCCGCUGUCCCACGUUUUAGUUCACCCUUCAUCCCCCCUUUCUCGAGUAGUGGCAGCCCCUCAUGGGACUCCAACUACUACAUUGUGGGUAAACGUGGGACACCGUGUCUUCCUCAACGGUUCUGGGCAUAGCGCAACUGUCGUGAUGUCGUGAGAUCGUGUUCCCGCUCUUUGGGGAAUGGGUAUCUGCUCGGUAUAUGUCUCUGGUCGGCCCAUGUUUGUAGAAGGCUCAUUGUCAGUGUUCUGCUCGUACCAUUCGGCUGAGGUGAUCCACCCCGGGGUGGGGAUGAUGGCCUGGCUGAGCUGGUGCUCUUAUUUACUUAACACCAGUCCCCUAGUUUCUGGUCUUGCGAGUGAAACGAGUUGAGAGUAGAAACUGGUAAUCGAAUUUUACCGAUCCUGGGAACUACCCAUCUGGUCCUCGCGUUAUUGUGGUGGAUCUGAGGUUCCAUCUCUCGUCUAAGGAGGUUUUGGCAUGAGUGUGGGCCUUCAUGAAUAUAUCUAGUAUACACUUGGGCUUGCGUCUCGUCAGGCCUCUUAUAACGGUUAGUGACGUGGUGCUUCCCGACUCUUCGUAUUUGAAAUUUGAAACGACAGGCUAUCCAUCCUCGAUAUACGGUAAAUGAGCUGGCAUCCCUGUCACUUAAACGCUUCCAUUUCUCCCUUUUUGUUUCAAAUCCCUAGACUGAAAUCAUCAUUGUUUUGUUACUCGUCUCUCUGCCGUAAACCAACUCCUUCUCUGAACUUUACUCUCACUUCCUGCGUCCGGAGCCUCCACUUGCUGGGUUCUUUCUCUGUCACGGCAGCGCUAUCCGUGCCAGCCUAUUCCAGCUAUAGCCUUUAACCCCCUCUCUGGUUGUUGUUGAUUGGGUUUUGUAUUGUGGGUUCUGUAUUUGUCCCUUUUUGUACCCAUAUGUUUGGAUAUUUUGUGCUUUCCCUUUUUAAACUUCAAUAUGUCAAACCGGAAGGGAAAAAUAAUUGUAGAUGACAGUGAUGGAGAGAUAGAGGAUUCAUAUCCCCAUCUGUUUGGGCCCGAUGAUCUUUUAUACUCCUCUCGUAGUGUAGGUCCCUCCCAUCGUAAGGAUACCCCUGAAUACCCUCGUUCUAUGACCACUUUGCCUUCCCCUGAGUUAGAGCUUGUAGGAAACCGAGGUGGACCCGCGUCGGGCUCUGGUGAAAAUCGUAGUUCUGGUGGGGCUGGGGUCCCUGAAGAGGUGGAUGAUGGUGAGGGGAGCAGUUCCGAGCCGAGCAGACCCUCUAAGAAGAGAAACAUUGGCCAUAGGAUGGAGGCAGAUUCUUAUCCUAUUGACUAUAUAGCUUGUGCCACCACUCCAACUGACCUGCUCAAGCUUAGAACCCUUUAUAACAUACCUGAAGAGGUUCUCCUUGUAAUCCCUGGGAAAGAUGACGUUCCUAGUCAGCCUCCGAGGGGGUAUGUGACGAUGCAUCUGGAGAGUUUCAAAUUAGGAGCUCGGUUGCCCCUUCAACGUUAUUUUGCCAAGAUAUUGGGUGGUAUGCACCUGGCUCCAGGUCAGUUACACCCAAAUGGGUGGAGGGUUCUCUCGGCUAUAUAUGUGUUAUGGGAGAGGUGUGGAUCAGAGGAACCCUCCCUUAUUGAAGUAAAGCAUUUGUACCAGCUCAGGAGUAGCCCAAAGGAAGCAGGCUGGCAUUACUUCAUGUCGAGCUCUGCAAAGAGGAAGGCAAUCACUGGCUUUCCUUCAUCUUGUAAGAAUUGGAAGAACAAAUUCUUCUUUGUUGGAGGAAAUUGGUGUCCAGCAGUCCGCUCGCUUGGUGGUGAUAUUUACCUUCCAACGCGCUUUGUCACCCCAGGUUGUUUAUUUUUUGCCCAUUUUCUUUCUCCAAUCGUUACUUAUUGGGUUCUUUAACCUUGUUUGCUCUUUCAGAAUCGUGGGGUUUGAUUAAGGAGCUUGAAGACAGACCCUUGCUCCAGGUAGAAACUGCUCUAGUGAACGCGUCUACCUGCCAAGACCUCCUGUCAUCAACAAACCUGGUCGGAUCGCGCUUAGUGGACGUAGCUGCCGGAAUGGAUAACAAGAUCCUCAGUGCUAUGACCAGGAAGCGUGGUCGGGCUCCAGCAGCUCCAGCAAUCCCCCUCCUCCUUCGAAGAAAACCAAUGUUGGUCCACCCAAGGCUUUUGUUCCUGCUCUGCCCCCUCAUCCACCUCGAAAAAAUGGUGGGGCGAAGGUGAGUGAUAAGAGUCCUGAGGUCAGCAUUCAGCCCGGGGACCGAUCUUCUCCUCUUCCAUCUCGGGACCAAGGUGAUUACCUGAGCCCGUAUAAGAGGGAUUACGGCAAAUCGGUGGGACCCAAGAUGGUGAAGGACAUCGAGAGUAUGAACCUUGCCGAGUUAGCUGGUUCCGUUCAAAGGGUCUCCUUUAAGCUGGCCACCUUGGUUUCGUGCUACAAGAACAGGUCCAUGCGCCAUGAGAGGAAGCUUCAAGCUGACAACCAGGACUUGAAGAAAAAAGUUGAGUCUACCGAUCGCUCGAAGGAAAAGCUGCUUGAUCUGCACAAGCAAAUCAUGGACCUGGAGGAGAAAGUGGCCCUGGCUGAGUCCUCCUCCACCAAGCUUGAGGGUGAGUUGGGUAAUCUGAAGUCUGAUCUUCAGGCCACUCAAAGUGAGCGAGAUACCUUGAAGACGACCCUUGAGGGAGAAAUCAAAUCUCUGAGUGAGCAGUUGGCCGAGGUGAAAGGCAAAUAUGCUGAUGUGGAUGAUCGGCUGGAUGCAGAGUAUGACUCUGGGGUUGCUUUCUGCUAUAAGUGCAUCAUAUUUGUGCUCAAGGAAGAAUAUCCAGAGCUUAACAUGAGCAAGCUGAAGGCUGGAGUGCAGAACUAUAUGGCUGAGUCCGACCAGGGGGACAAAGAGCAGGGGAAUCAGGAUCAGGUGGAACCUCAUUCAGGUGGGGCCAGGAGGAGGGAGCAGGGGGUCGUACUCAUGAAGUAGGUCAAGGGUCAGUGCCUCCUCCCCCCGAUGUUGCUGAUCCUCCUCUUCCUGAGAUUGUUGAUCCUUCAACAACCGAGGCCGCUGAUCCUCAUAAUUUUUAGGUUUAUUUUUGUAUAAACCCUAAACUUUCAGCUGUUUUGUAAACAUUUUGAGUAUAAAUUUUGGAUGCUUUCCAUUGGGUUUUUUAUUGUGGUUUUGCUUAUGGAUCGUUUCUGCAAAUUGCCUUAACAUAUUUAGUUGGCUUUGCCUGCUAGUCCUUUAAUCGACUGAGCAGGAAUGGGCACUCGCUUGCCAUAACCAAAUUUGUAGAUUUGCCUGCUGGUCUUUUAGGCGACCGAGCAGGAUUAGUCACUUGCUUGCCUUAAUAAAAUUAGUAGGUUUGCCUCCUGGUCCUUUAGGUGACCGAGCAGGAUUAGGCACUUGCUUGCUUUAACGACUUUUGUGAAAUAGCCUGCUAGUCCUGAAGGCUACCGAGCAGGAAUAGGCACUUGUUUGCCUUAGCAAAAUUUCGUGAAAAUGCCUGCUGGUCCUUAGGCGACCGAGUAGGAAUAGACACUUGCUUGCCUUAGUAGAAUUUUUAUGAAAUAGCCUGCUGGCUCUUUAGGCGACCGAGCAGGAAUAGACACUUGCUUGCCUUAGUAGAAUUUUUAUGAAAUAGCCUGCUGGUCUUUAGGCGACCGAGCAGGAAUAGGCACUUGUUUGCCUUAGUAAAAUUUAAUGGAUUGUACUAGCAGGGGAAUUUCAUGCUGAAUUCAUCUUUAUUGAAACUUGCAUGGGUUACAGAAAUGUGAAAUAUAUGCAUGUGCCACAAGUCAUCAUGCAUUUAACAGAAAUAACUUAUCGAAAUAAAGACUUGGUAAAGCACUUUGCUUACUGGAAGUACUUCUUCAAGUGUUCAGCGUUCCAUGACCUCUUCACGUCUCGUCCAUCUGGGUAAGUCAGCUUGUAAGCUCCUGGUCCAGUCGCUCGUAUUACCCUGUACGGGCCUUCCUAUUUCGGGCCGAGAUCGCCAUGGUUAGGGUCCCUAGUGUUUUGGUUCACCUUCCUAAGUACCCAAUCUCCUGCUUGGAACUGCCUCACGCGUACGUUCUUGUUGUAACAACGCAUGAUUCUUUGUUGACAUUGGGCCACUUUCUGCGAGGCCCCUUCCCUUUUCUCCUCCAGCAGGUCCAAGCUCAAGCAGAUCUGCUCGUCGUUUUGCUCCUCGUUGAAGUAUUCUGUCCGAUGUGUCCCCACUCCAAUCUCUGCUGGGAUUACCGCAUCAUGACCAAAAGCUAAAGCAAACAGGGUUUCCCCCGUGGCAGUUUUGUGGGUUGUCCGGUAAGCCCAUAACACUCCUGGUAGCUCGUCGACCCAAGCUCCCUUCUUCUCUCCCAGCCUGGUUUUUAGGAGUUUCUUUAUUACUUUGUUGGCUGCUUCCACUUGUCCGUUUGCCUGGGGGUGUGCUGGGGUGCAAAACUUCAGGUCCACCCCCAAGUUUUGGCAAAAUUCUCUGAAGUUGUUGUUGUUGUCAAACUGGCUAUCUCAAAAGGGGCAAGGUGAAUUCUCGGCGGUAAAGUACCCCAUCGAGUAGCGUAUACCUUGCUGCUCGGCAUUUCAAUUUCCUUGUUUGCUUCCUGCCCUCCGGUAGAAUGCCAUUCCAGAUGUAGGAGAAAAUAGGGUCCAUCCAAGACUCCUCGAUGCUCACCCGCAUUACUUCUGCUCCCUCCCCUAUGCUUGGCGAGGUCCUCACUUUCAGUGGAACUGACUUGGGUAACUUUGGAUCCGCAACUGCGGCCAUUCUGGCCAACAUGUCUGCUUGGUAAUUCUCGUUUCGGGAUAUCUGCUUUAUCUCUACCUCUUGGAAUAGCCCGACCAUAUGCUUUGCCUUCUUCAAAUAAAGCCCCAUCUUUUCUUCUCUUGCUUGGAAUUGAUCACUGAGCUGAUUACAGACUAAUUGGGAAUCUGCUCGGAUUUCUACCUUUUCUGCUCGUAGUGCAUGUGCGAUCUCGAGCCCAGUGAAGAAGGCUUCGUAUUCAGCUUGGUUGUUCGUGAGCUGAAAUUCAAACUUCACUGCAUAGGAUAUCUCGAUCCCUUCUGGACUUCGUAUUACAAUCCCUGCUCCGGAUCCUUGUUCACUACGUGACCCAUCAACCAUUAUCAUCCACACCCCCUUUGGGUUCUCCUGUUCCACUAAUUGUUCCUCCUGAACUUCUUCUCUUGAUUCGACACGGUCAACCAUAAAAUCGGCCAGAGCUUGGGCUUUGAUUGCUCCUCGGGGCCUAUAGGAUAAGUCGAAUUCGCUCAGCUCCACGGACCACUUUACUAACCGCCCUGAUGCAUAUGGUGUUUGGAGCAUUUGCCGAAGAGGCUGGUCAAUCAUCACAACUAUCGGGUGGGCCUGAAAAUAUGGUCGGAGUUUUCGUGCUGCCGUUAUUAAAGUCAGUGCCCAUUUCUCCAUCAGUAGAUACCUGGUUUUUGCAUCUACUAGGGCCUUGCUAGUGUAGUAUACGGGGUGUUACUUUCAUUCUUCUUCUUUGACUAAUACCGAGCUGAUAGCCCAUUUUGAGAUUGCCAAGUACAAAAACAGCUGGUCACAUUCUCUCGGAGUUGAUAGUAACGGGGCGCGGGCCAGAUAUUCCUUCAGCUGCCCGAACGCCUCCUCACAUUUUGAUGUCCACUCCAUCUUUCUCCCUUUCUUUAUGGUUUGGAAGAAAUGGUGGCAUUUAUCUGUGGUCCGCGAGAUGAAUCGGUUCAAUGCUGCCAAUUUCCCUGUAAGGCUCUGCACCUCCUUAACUGUUCGUGCGGACCUCAUUUCUGUUACCGCCCGUAUCUUUUUCGGGUUGGCCUUGAUCCCUCGGUGGCUCACCAGGAAUCCCAAAAAUUUGCCCAACCUGACCCCAAAUGCACAUUUCUCCGGGUUCAGCUUCAUUUCAUACUUCCUCAGCAAUUCAAAGGUCUCUUCCAAGUGCUUUACAUGAUCCCUCGGUUCCUUAGACUUUGUGAUCAUAUCGUCCACAUAUACCUCUAUAGUGUGACCAAUCAAUGGCUUGAAGAUCUUGUUCACCAACUUUUGAUAGGUAGCUCCUGCAUUUUUCAGGCCAAAAGGCAUUACCCUGUAGCAAAAUAAACCCAUGUUAGUUAUAAAUGUGGUGUUUUCCUCAUCCUGCUCGUCCAUGGGUAUCUGGUUGUAUCCCGAAAAGGCAUCCAUGAAGCUGAGCAGACUGUGACCCGCUGUUGAGUCCACCAAUUGAUCUAUCUUUGGUAGGGAAAAACUGUCCUUCGGGCAUGCCUUAUUAAGGUCUGUGAAAUCCACACACAUUCUCCAUUUCCCGUUGGCCUUCUUUACCAGUACUACAUUGGAAAUCCACUCCGGGUACUUGGCCUCCCUUAUAAAUCCUACUUUCAACAGCUUUUCCACUUCGGCAUUUAUGGCCUCGUACCUUUCCUAGUUAAAGCACCUCAUUUUCUGCCUCACCGGCCUUGCCCCCUUCUUGAUUGCCAACUUGUGGCAAGCUACCCCGCGAUCAAUUCCUGGCAUGUCCUCGUGAGACCAGGCAAAUAUAUCUGCAUGAGACUGUAUGCACUUCACCAGCUCGCCUUUUACUGCCCCGGUCAAUCCUGAUCCGAUCUUAACCACUCUGCUCGGGUUACUCUUGCUCACCACAACCUCCUCCAGUUUCUCAACAGGUUCCUGGCGACCCUUUUUGGAAUCUCCUCGGUUAUCUAGAGAGGUAACAUGUAGUGUCUCCUUGGCUGCUGUAGCGUAACAGCUCCUCGCCAUUCUCUGGUCACCUUUUACUACGCCAACAACUCCAUUUACUCUGUACUUCAAUGCCAGGUAAUGCGUGGAUACAACACACUGACUUACCCUCAUGAAAGGUCGUCCUAGUAUCAUCUAGUAAGGGCUUCUUUCUUCUACCACAACAAAGUCCAGCAUCAUUGUUCUUUCAAACGGCUUUGACCCCACAGUAAUCGGAAGUUCGAUAAUCCCCAUAGGGGUUAACCGUCCUCCUCCAAAUCCCUUUAAGGAUGUAUUUGUCCGCUCCAGUUUUAAGUCUGAAAUUCCCAUAUCAUCUAGGGCCGACUUAAACAGUAUGUCAACCGAGCUACCCGUGUCCACCAGUAUUCGCUGCAAUUCUGUACCGACCACCAUUGCCUUAAUCACCAGUGUAUCCUCAUGAGGAUAUAAAACACCCUCUUCGUCGUCUUCUGUCCACAUAAUGGGAACUUGCCUCAUUUUCGCCCUCUUGGCUGCUGGCAAAUUGAAAAGCACCUCUUUGCUGGUCAUGGCAUAUCUCCCAUAAUUCUUCCGUACCCUGUUUGAAUCCCCAGCCAAUGUUGGCCCUCCUGCUAUCACACGGAUAGUGGGCUGUUCACGCUCUAGGCUUCUCUCAACUCCCUCAUCCCGCGUAUACUGUGAUUCAAUGACAGGUGAAACUCCAUCUACAUAUUCAUCCAAGUAUUGGUUCCUCACCAAAUCCUCCACCUGAGUUUUUAGGUCACGACAUUGGUUUAUUGUGUGACCACGAGUAUUAUGGAAUUUGCAGAAUCUGCUCUUAUCACGUCUGUGAGCAGGUUUUGUUAUGGGGGCAGGAGGAUAUAGCAGGCCUCGCCCCUCGAUCCUCUCAUAUAGCUCCUCCAUAGAGACUUUUAAUGGGGUGUAUUGUCUAUAUGUCGAGCUCUGGUUAAUCAGUUGGACUGCUCGGCUAUCCUGGAUAUCAUCCCGAGCUUGCAUUGAAGGUAGCUGACUGGGUCGUCCAGCUCUGGAGUUGACUGGAUGUAGUGCCCUGGGAGCGUUGUAAUAAGGAUGGGCAGCCAACUGCCGGAAUUCUCGUUGCCGCUCCGGGAAUGGGGGGUGAGGAGACUGAGCCCGGCUGUGUUGGAACUGUUGUGGUCUCUGAGCUAUGGGGUAAGGGCGGGACCGAGCUGAUAUUCCGCCCAUUACUGAGGAUUCCCCAGCUCGCUUUCCCGACCCGCUCCCGUUCGGGGUUCUCAUUUCCUUUCGUCUCAGCUUUUCAAGCUGUUCACUUUUUAUCCUCGCCGAUUUCUCCUCUUCGAUUUCUAUAUCUCUCCUCGCCUGCUCAUACCCCGUCGAAUAAUUCUGUACUAGGGGACUUCUCAAGUUGUACCACAGUCGGCCUAUCCUCACGCCCUCUUUUAAUCCCCUCAAUGCCUGCGGGUGAUUGAAAGCCCCCAGAUCAAGCACGGCUCGGUGGUAUCGUUUUACAAAUUCCCGAAGGGAUUCAUGUUCCUCCUGCUUAAUCCUUAUCAGUUCCAUCAUAUCGUCCUCUGGGGCUACUGCUCCUCGGAACUGCUCGGCCAACUCUUGGCACAUCUGCUCGCAUCCUUUUAUACUUCCUCGUGGCAACUUGCGGUACCAUUCUCGGGCUCGUCCCUCUAGUGUCAAUGGGAACACCUUGCACCUCUGAGCUAGUGUUAGCCCCUGCACACCCGUCAUGUCGUUGAAGCGUUCAAUAUGUACCAGCGGGUCACUUCGCCCGGAGUAUUUGAGGUCGGGAAAGCGGAAAUCUAUUGGGAUUACAGUACCCAUGAUCUCGGCUGAUAACAUAGACUCUUCAUCUAACAUUAUCCUCCAACUCGGGGGCUUUUUCUUGCCCUGAAUCUCCUCCAUCAGCUGCGCCAAUCUGCGCACCUCACCUUCCAAUUCUACAGCACGGUCUGGAUCACGCGCAGCUAUAUGAUCUCGCUCCUGCUCGGUAUUCUACAACCGCUGUCUGAGCUCUCCUUCAUCCACAUUGCUUCCUCGGCCAUCAAUUUCCAGUACUCGUCCGGAGCGGGGUUGGUCUCUCCUUUUAUCCACGCGCUCCCCUGGAACCUAACCAAUAUUUCUAUGGGGAUGCACCCCAUAGGGUUGGUCUACCGGUGGGGGGAUUUCCUCGACUCUACGGCUCCGGAGGCUGGGUUCUGCCUCAACUUCAUCUCUCCCCACGGGGGUUUCAUAGCCCCUUCUCCGCUCAUCCUUCAGCUCAUGCAAUAUGGCCGUGAGAGUUUCCAUUUGUUUCUCCAUCCGUUCCAUUCGAUCUUGCAUCAUCCUCUCUCUAGCUUCAUUUGCUAUCUCUCGGAGAGUGAUUGUUUCACCAGUUUCAUUGUCGCCACCUAGGGCAUCCUUCCUUGAUAUAUCCAUAACCGAUUGUUCGCUGCUUCUCCGAUGACUACUAAUUUGGUGGUAGCUUUUUAUCCAGCUCCCCACAGACGGCGCCAAAAUGUUGAUACUGAAAUAUGCUCGCCCUUUACCCGACCAGAGUUUUCCACCAACGCUUAUAUGCUUAACGGGAAAUGUCACUUUCUCCUUGCCUUAACGAUCGCUUACGUCACUGGGUUGGAAUCACCCUUUUUUUUAUCUUGCUAAGCCUACGUUCACAAAGAAUGGAUCAGAGACGCCGAUAGUUUUACCGGCGUAAACCCUCCGAUGCCUAAGUUAGCACAAGGUGUUUACGGGAAAACGGUUCAAUUUAGAUUUUGGAAUGGCUUAAAGUUCACUCUCAGUUUGUGUAGAAAAACAAUCUAGUUUUAAUUUGGCAGAGUUUUCCAUUCUCUCUCAGUUUUUUCAUCCCUUCCUUCAUUGGUUUCUUCCUCUUUUAUAGCCGCUGUCCCACGUUUCCGUUCACCCUUCAUCCCCCCUUUCUCGGGUAGUGGCAGCCCCUCAUGGGACUCCAACUACUACAUUGUGGGUAAACGUGGGACACCGUGUCUCCCUCAACGGUUCUGGGCAUACAUGAUUAAACAUAUAAAUCAAAAACUCCCCUUGAAUAUUUGAUUUAUGAUAAUUUGAAAGCUCCCCCAUAAUAUUUCAAAAACAUGCAUAAAUACUUGAAAUACAAAAAUAUGUAUUACAUGUCUUCGUGUCUUUCAAAAACAUGCAUAAAUACUUGAAAUACAAAAAUAUGUAUUACAUGUCUUCGUGUCUUCAUAUUCAAAAUACAUGACUUCUCCCCCUUCAUCAUCAAAAUUACUAGAAAAUCAUGCUAAGACCGAAAAAAAAAAUUAACCAAAAUAUCAUUAUAAAAAAAAAAAAAAACUUAUCAUAGUUAUUACCCCCUUAAAAAAAAUAGAGACAUGCAAUUUGAAACAAGAUCAUAAAAAAUGAUUCAAGGAAGAUAUUACCAAUUGUGUGCGAGCAAAAAUUUCGGCAGAGUCUCCCCUUAAAAAUGAACAAAUCCUCAAAUACACAAUGUGAUUAAAAAUACUUCCAUAUAAUCUUAAACAAUUAUAACAAACCAACAACUCCAUUAAUUCAUUAAGCAACACACAUAUAAUCAUCAAUAAUCAAAAGUACUAUAAAUCCAUACUUAUACCAAAAAGAAUAUCUCAAUAAUUAAUCAAGAAACAUUAAGCGUGCAAUUAACUAAAGAGUCAUAUUCAUUCUAAGAAUUCAAAAAAUAUCAUCCAAAUAUAAAUUAUCCAAAUAUUAAACAACCAUAAUCCGUAAUCCACAAUUAAAACAAUUAUACAUAUGAAAAUGUAGGUGCAUAAUAUAAUAAGAAACCAUGGUAAUUUAAAAUACCCAAAAUGCACAAAUUCGGUUUUGUAAAAUAAUGAGUGAAAUGGAUUAUUUUAAACCGAUUAUAUUGAUCCAAGAGAUGAUUUAAGAUAAUGGAUGGUGUUGAUUGGAUCAAAAGUGGACUAAAAAGAGCUUAAAUAUGCAAUUUCGGGUUUAACAAAAAUUGAGUGAAAUGGAUUUGUUUGAACCAAGAAAAUCAAUCCUAGAGAUAAAUGAAGCUAGUAUAUGAUGUAGAUUGGAUAAAAAAUGGGCUAAAGGAAGCUUGAAAAUGAAGAGAGAGAAACGGGUAGAAUGAGAAUUUUUUAUUUUGGGUUUUAUGUGGAGAGAUGAUGAAAUCGAGUUUUGAGAGUGAAAAUUGAAAGAGUAAUGGAUGAAUAAUGAGUUGGAUGAUUGAUUUUAACAAGAAAAUGAGUGAAAGAUGAAGAGAUUUGAGAAAGAAAAUGGAGAGCACUAUUCAUGCGGGAAUGGAAUGAGGAUGGAAUGAUGAAGAACAAGUGAAGAAAUCAUGAUGGAGAAGUGUUUAAUGAAGAUGAAAUGCAUGGGUAUUAGUUUGAAUGGUUGAUUUGGGCAUGAAAAUGGAUGAAAAAGGAAGGAAAAUGGAGGUGAAAAUGGAUGGGUUGCUCACGGUUUUGAAUGAGAGAGAAAGCAUGUGCAGAAAAUUCACGAAAGAGGAAGAAGAAGCAAAAAAAAAUUGACCACACCCGUGACCAAGCGGCUAGCCGCUUGCUCUCGGGUUAGGGGGACAUUUCCAAGCGGCUCCAAGCGGCUAGCCGCCUGGUUGCUGUCCAGCUGCACCUUAGUUAAUUUCCGGCCAAUUUUAAUCAAUUUCGUGACCAUUUUGUGAUCCCGAAACAUCUCAAGAGCCAAUUUAAUGCAUGAUUCAUUAUUUUAAACAUCCAAAAGAUAAUUAAUUCAAACAAAUAAUCCAUCCAACAAGCAUACAAUCAUGAAGCAUAUAAACAUUCAAAACUUAAUAAAAUGAAGAAAGGUCAAAUUCGAAAUAAAAACUGUAUUGAUUGAGCCAGAAGUAACGUGCAAGCUAUAUACCGUUAGAAAGAUAAUUAAGUUAGCUUUCCAAUAAAUUUUACAAAGCUGGAUUUGGAGUUCUCUAGAAGGGGUUAUGACCAAUUCAUUACAGCUUGUGCAGACUUGGAAUUUUCAACGACUCCUUUGUUUUCCAAACAAUUUUAAUAGAUUCAAUAACAUAAAUAGAGAUGUUAAUCCGAAAAUUUCAUCAUCUUAAGUUCAUACCGAAUUUUUGAAAAUUGUUCUUCGCAAAGGGGUUUUGUAAAAAUAUCGGCAAGUUGUUUUUCCGUAGAGAUAAAUUCUAAUGCAAUAUCACCUUUUUGAACAUGAUCUCUCAAGAAAUGAUGCCUAAUCUCUAUAUGCUUGGUCCUAGAAUGUUGAAUGAGAUUCUUUGAAAGAUUUAUGGCGCUAGUAUUAUCGCACUUGAUAGGAAUUUUUUCAAGAACAAUACCAUAGUCUCUAAGUGUUUGUUUCAUCCAAAGUGCUUGUGCACAACAACUUCCUACGGCAAUAUAUUCCGCCUCAGUAGUUGAGAGUGCCACGGAAUUUUGUUUCUUACUAAACCAUGAAACAAGUGAAUGACCAAGAAAAUGGCAAGUUCCACUAGUACUCUUUCUAUCGACCUUGUGACCAGCAAAAUCGGUAUCCGAAUAACAAGUUAAAUCUAUAUGAGUUCCUCUAGGAUACCAAAGGCCAAUAUCUAUGGUUCCACUUAAAUAACGAAAAAUUCUUUUAACAGCAAGCAAAUGAGAUUCCUUGGGACAUGAUUGAAAUCUUGCACACAAACAUACACUAAACAUGAUAUCGGGUCUACUUGCGGUUAAGUAAAGUAAGGAUCGAUCAUACCUCGAUACUUUUUAAUAUCAACCUCUUUACCUUUCUCAUCUUUAUCAAGCUUGAUUGUUGUACUCAUUGGAGUAUUCUUGGUAUUUGAUUCAUCAAUACCAAAUCUCUUGAGCAAGUCUUUGACGUACUUAGCUUGGUUGAUGAAAAUCCCCUCAUUGUUUUGUUUGAUUUGAAGUCCAAGAAAACACUUCAAUUCUCCCAUCAUGCUCAUCUCAAAUUCCUUACUCAUACAAGAGUAAAAUUCUUUGCACAAAGAUUCAUUAGUAGAACCAAAAAUAAUAUCAUCAACAUAAAUUUGAACAACAAGUAUAUCUUGAUUUUUAUUUUUAAUAAAGAGGGUAGUAUCCGCUCUUCCCAUCGAAAAACCGUUAUCCAACAAGAAAUUUUUAAGCUUAUCAUACCAUGCUCUAGGUGCUUGUUUUAAUCCAUACAAUGCUUUUGAUAACUUAUACACAUGAUUUGGAAAUUUCUCAUUUUCGAAACCAGGAGGUUGUUUCACAUAAACUUCCUCCAUAAUAUAACCAUUUAGGAAAGCACUCUUGACAUCCACUUGAAAUAAAAUAAAAUCUUUAUGACAUGCAAAUGCUAACAACAUCCUAAUGGAUUCUAAUCUAGCUACAGGUGCAAAUGUUUCAUCGAAAUCAAUUCCUUCUUCUUGGUUGUAUCCUUGAGCCACUAAUCUAGCUUUAUUUCUUACAACCAUACUAGAUUCAUCCAUUUUAUUUCUAAAUACCCAUUUAGUGCCUAUAAUGGAUUGAUGUUCCGGUUUAGGAACCAAUUCCCAUACUUUAUUUCUCUCAAAUUGAUUUAACUCCUCUUGCAUUGCCAUAAUCCAAAACUCAUCAUUUUCCGCAUCCGCAAAAGAUUUUGGUUCAAUUUGAGAAAUAAAUGCAACAUGCUCACAUGUGUUUCUAAGUGAUGAUCUAGUUGUGAUACCUCUUGAAUGAUCACCUAAAAUUAAAUCCUUAGGAUGAGAGGAAACAUACCUCCACUCCUUGGGGAGUGUUUGAGAACUACCUUCUUGUUGCUCCAGCUCCAUAUUUGUUUGUUCUUCUUGUCUAUCCUCUUGAUUUUCUUGUGGUGCAUUCUCUUGAUUCUCUUUUGAUGAUUCUUCUUGUAAAGUUUCAUCUGCAUCAUCAUUAUCAACUCCUUUCUCCGCAGAGGAGGGGUUAGAUUCAUCAAACGUAACAUGCAUGGAUUCUUCCACAACUAAAGUUCUUAUAUUAUAAACUCUAUAAGCUUUGCUUGAGUUUGAAUACCCGAGAAAGAUGCCAACAUCAGAUUUUGGAUCAAAUUUACCAAGAUUAUCUUUUGUGUUUAAAACAAAACAUUUGCAUCCAAAAACUUUGAAAUAACCAAUGUUGGGUUUUCUAUCUUUCCAAAGCUCAUAGGGAGUUUUAUUGAGAUGAGGUCUAAUCAACACCCGAUUUAAAAUAUAACAAGCGGUGUUGACGGCUUCGGCCCAAAAAUAUUUUGGUAUUGUUUUUUCAUUUAACAUGGUCCUAGCCAUUUCUUGAAUAGACCUAUUCUUUCUCUCAACAACUCCAUUUUGUUGUGGAGUCCUAGGUGAUGAAAAUUGAUGCUCAAUGCCAAAAUCAUUACAAAAAUUUUCAAAUGCAUGAUUUUCAAACUCUCCACCAUGAUCACUUCCAAUACAAGUAAUAGAAUAACCCUUUUCAUUUUGAACAUUUUUACAAAAAAUUCUAAAUGCAUCAAUGGCAUCAUCCUUAUUAGUUACGAAUAAUACCCAUGUGUAUCUAGAAUAAUCAUCUACAAUUACAAAUGCAUAAAAUUUUCCACUUAAACUGGCAUAUCUAGAGUGUCCAAACAAAUCUAUAUGAAGUAAUUGAAGAGGUUUUGAAGUAGAGAUAUGAUUCUUGUUUUUGAAAAAUGUUUUGAUUUGUUUUUCAAAUUGACAUGCUUCACAAAUUCUAUCCUUUUGAAAACCAAUUUUUGGAAGACCUUUAACUAAAUCGUUUUUCGAAAUUUUUGAAAUUAAAUCCAUGCUUGCAUGUCCUAGUCUUCUAUGCCAUAACCAACCAUCAUCAUGCAAUGCCGAAAAAUAUUUAUCAUGAGUAGAUGCACAUUCUAUAUCAAUCGUGUAAACAUUGCCACAUCUAUUUCCCAUAAAUAAAUUUUUUCCAUCACAUGCAUUCUCAAUAACACAUCUUGAUUUAUCAAAAACAACUUUAUAACCUUUGUCACAUAGUUGACUAAUGCUAAUCAAAUUGUGUCUCAAAUUUUCAACCAAACAUACAUUUUCAAUUAGAGUUGAAGAAAUUUUACCAACAUUUCCAAUUCUGAGAAUUUUUCCUUUUGAGUUAUCUCCAAAGGAUACAUCUCCACCAUUUUCGAUUUUGGUGAAACUUGAGAACCAUGCAUAGUUUCCGGUCAUAUGCCUAGAACAUCCGCUAUCCAAGUACCAUUUAUUUUUCUUUUUCUUCAAGCCCUGCAAAGAAAAUCUUUAUGUUUUAGGUACCCAAACAUUUUUGGGUCCUUGAUCGUUAGCAACGGUUCCUUUUGAAACCCACACACAUUUGACACCAUUAUAUGCAUUCCUUUUUACGGGACAUCUAUAUUUCAUGUGACCAUUUUGAUUACAAUAAUGACAAACAAUCUUAUGAUCAUUUGUGGAGGUAGCUUUAACAAAAUAAUUCUUAUAAUACUUUUCUUCAAAUUAGGCUUAUACCCAAGUUUUCCUUUAUCAAAAACACAUUUUUGGGAGUUAAGCAUGUUAUCCAACAUCUUUUGCCCAUUUGUAAAUUUUAGAACAACAUUACUAAGUUCAAUAUUCUUUUUCUUGAGCAUUUCAUUUUCCUUUUUCAAAUCAUCUACAUAUGACUCUAAAUGCUCAUGUGAAGUGCUAGAUUUUUCACUUGAUAAUGCAACUCUAUUAUGCAAGGUUUUAUUCUCUAAUUCUAAUCCUUUAAUCUUCUUAUUCAAUGACUCAUUACAUUUUUGCAUGGCAUCCUUUUCAUUUGUAGAUUCUAGCAAUUUCUUUUUAAGGCAUGCAUUCUUUUUACCAAUUUUCAUCAACUCAUCAUGCAUUUCUUUAAAAGCAUCAUACAAUUCAUCAUAGGUUGGAUCACUUACCUCAUUGAGAUCAUCAUCAUCUCCUAGUGCCAUAAGUGCUAGGUUUGAUACUUCUUGCGACUCAUCUUCAUCACUUGAAUCUUCAUCGCUAUCAUCCCAAGUAGCAACCAUAGCUUUCUUCUUGAGUUUGUUGAGAAGUGGGCAUUCCGAUCUUAUAUGGCCGGGCUUCUUGCAUUCAUAGCAUAUGAUUGCCUCUUUCUUCUCCUUUUGGUUUUUGAAAUUUCUGAAUUUUCUUCGGUCACCGAUUUUCUUGAAAAAAUUUCUGAACCUCCUUGCUAGCAUAGUCAACUCCUCAUCAUCCGGCUCACUUUCCCCAUCACUCUUAUAUUUGGUGACUUUGAGAGCAAUGUUUUUCUUCCUUUCCUCAUAAGAAAUAAGAGAACCAAUUAAAUCAUCAAUAGGUAAGAUAUUCAAAUCUUUAGCUUCCUCAAUGGCAGUCCUUUUUGGUCUCCAUUCCUUAGGUAAUGACCUAAUGAUUUUCUUAACUUUCUCGCUAUUUGAAAAGGUCUUUCCUAGGGCUCCUAGAGUGUUUACUAUGUCCGUAAAUCUAGUAUACAUAGAAUACACACUCUCAUUUUGUUCCAUUUGGAACAAUUCAUAUUGCCGAGUGUACCUACUAAUUUUAGACUCUUUCACUUGAUUCGUGCCUUCAUAAACAACUUCAAGUUUGUGCCAAAUUUCAUUAGCACUUUUACAACUAGACACUCUAUGAAACUCUUUCUUAUCGAGUGCACAAAAUAAGGCAUUCAUGGCUUUGGAAUUUAGAGAAGCUUUUCUCUUUUCCAAUUCAUUCCAUUCCCGUGAAGGUUUUGGAAUGUCUUCCCCAAUUUCAUUUUUAGUCAAAGGCAUAAAUGGAUCAUCAUAUACAACUUCCCAAAUUUCAUAAUCUAAUGCUUGUAAAUAAAUUCUCAUCCUAGUUUUCCAAUACGGAUAGUCAUUUCCGUCAAAGAACGGUGGCCUAGUUGUGGAUUGUCCUUCCCUAAAGGUUGAAUCAUUUUAGGUUGCCAUGGAUCUUUUACUCUAGACUGUUAAGUCCUAACAAGAGAACUAAGCUCUAAUACCAAAUGAAAUACAAGUAACGCAACCCAAGAGGGGAGGUGAAUUGGGUUUUUAAAAAUAAUGCAAUACGAUUCGCACAAUAAAUCAAUCUAACGCCUUAAUGAAAUAGAGAACAAUAAAUUCAAGCAAGCGUAAAAAUAAAAGAGCAAGAGAAGAGAAAAACAAACACGCGAAUUUUUACGUGGUUCGACAAUCCCCGCCUACGUCCACGCCUCCAAGCCAACCGAGCUCGAGGAUUUCAUUAUCCAAGCCUCCCAAGGCUUCAAGUUUUUACAAUUGACUUCCAAGGUGUCAAUGAACCUUUACAACCAAGAGAUUAUCUCCCCAAUCUCUUCACCCCAAGUGUUUCCCACACUUACACACUCACAAUUUGAUAAGAAAUGAAAAUUACAACAAAAACUCUCUUUAAGAGUGGAUAUGCAACUAAUAGCUCAACAAUGAUUCAAUCAAUUAUGAUUUGCGUUUUGGAAGCUUAAUAUAUGUUGUAUGAUCUUAUAUUUGGGUGCAUUACUUCUUAAAAUGAAGUUUGAGUUGAGUUUUUAUAGUGAAAGCCCAAAAACUAGCUGUUAUAGGCAAAUUUCAGCGCUCAAGCGGUUAGCCGCUUGAUUAUCCGGCUAGCCGCUCAGGAACAGUAAUAUUACCGUCAUUUUUGAAUUUGCUACAGUAACAAUGUUCACUAAAAUUAUACUUUGGCCUAAAACUUUCUAUAAUUAUAUUAUGGCCCAAAACGUCAUAAAACUUUACAAAUAGGUCCAAUUUCAGAACUUCCUAAAAAUAGUUGUCUUUCCCAAACUUUCUGAAAUUAUGAUAUAGCCCCAAAGAUUUUAUUAUUUCACACAAAGGUCCUUUUCAACAUAAUAUCCAUAUUUUUCAAAGUUCUCAAAACCUUUCACUUUAGUCCAAAAUAUUCAUAAAUUAUAGUAUGGCCCAAAACAUUUAAAAUGUUUGUAAAAACGUCCAACUCUGAAAUUUAAUACUUAUUUAAAAUCAAAGAUUUCAAAUCUUAGCAUUUAAGUCCAAAUUACUUAAAUCCACAAAAUACUUUACUUUAUAAAAAUAAAACCUUUUAGUUUAUGAAAAGUAUUUAAUUAAAUUAAUCUCUUGAGCUUCUCAAAUGCUAAAUCAUGCAUCAAUUAAAUCAUACCGGCUUUACAAGAAUUUGUCGCAAUAAUUUAUCCGUUGAGCUCUAAACUUUAUUCUUGAUUUCGCCGUUGUCCGUUGAGUGUCUUCAAUCUUGAUUUCACUUGAUCACUUGCAUAAAUAUUAUCCUUAAAAAACUAGUGAAAAUGUGAAAUACAAUAUUUAUUAUUUUUACUUAAGACACAUGUUUGUAAUUAUCAUCAAAAUUACAUUAUGUAUAGCCCUUUAGGCUAACAGAAGCCAUCUAUAUUAUUUUAGGUCAGUUUUUCAAAAAAUUAAUAAUUUGAAGUGCAAUUUCUUUUGCGUUUUUCUAGUUUUUUUGGUUUUUUACUUUCUCUCAUAUAAAUCGAUGGAUUUUUUUUUACAAAAAAAAAACUGACGAAUUGUUUUUUUGGCGGCAAUUAUAAUUUUACCCACCCCUAAUCUAUAUGGCGAAUAUCAUUGCUAUAAAGGCUGCUUUCCAGUAUUAUUGCCAGUUGUAGAGUGCUCGAUAAAAUGUUGCUAGCCUGUCUGAUUUGACUGUUUGAAGAAAAACUGAUACUACUUAGGACCAAAUAGAUAGUACUAAUUUUCUCUAUCUCGUCAAUUUAAUCUUGAAUCUUUAUAUUACAAUUAAUUUUCGUUAAUGGUGAGAGAUUGAUUAAACUCACAAUGCCUGAUAAAAGUUUAAUCUAUUAUAUUUUCUUGCGUCCUCAAUGAAUACAAAUUAAGAAGAAUUAUUAUACUAAUACUUUUUCUCUAUGAUUGUCUUUGUCAACUUUUUAUGUAAGAGCCAAUAUACGUUCAUGAUGGCAAAUUUGUUGAGAAAAAAUUUUGUUUAGAAAAAAUUUUGUUUAAUCAAGUGACCCUCAAUAUUCACAUGGAAUAAGAGACGAGGGAAAAAAAAUCAUUUUGUGAUUGCAGAAAGGCAAAAAAAAAAGCAUAAUGACAGGGAUUUCUAAUUGUGAUCAUUUUGGUGUUUUCAUUGUGUACUUGAGUAAAAGUUAAAAUUUUAAAAUUGAAGUCUGUAAGGUAAAAGAGUGUGCUUACUUUGCAGUUCAAAUAAUUUCAUCUUCUGCUCAUUAGUAUUUUUUCAUUAUUUAUGUUAAAUGACAACCUAAUUAUCUAUCCACCCAUGUGAAUAAGAUAUAUAAUUAUCAUUUAAGGUAUGAAAAAAUACCUAUAUAUGAGAUGGUCACAUGAGAGGGACUUGUUAAAACCCAAUCAAAUAAUAUUGAGUCCUUAAGCUACCAAGUUAAGCUUGCACGGGUCCAAACUUUUAGCAUCUCAUUUUAUUGUUUGAGUUGAUUUUUUAACUAACUUUUAGCAUCUCAUUUUAUUGUAACAGAUGGUUCUGGCCCUUUAUCUAUAAGUCUAAUAUCCACAUGCACAAGCAUUGGAGGCAACACCCUAUUUGCAUUAGUGAUAUUUCUCAUUUACAGAUCAAGAGAAUCUGAAAAAGAAAAAGAGACUCAACUGAAGGUGGAGAAGUUCCUCGAAAACUACAGGACCAUCAAUCCCACCAUAUAUACUUACAAAGAACUGAAGAAAAUAACAAGCAGAUUUAAGCAUAGGCUCGGUCAGGGAGGUUACGAAAGCAUGUUCAGAGGAAAACUCUUCAAUGCAAUUCCAGUUGCUGUCAAGAUGUUGGAACAUUUAAAAGGAAAUGGACAAGAGUUCAGGAUUCACCACUUCAACAUUGUUCGGCUUCUAGGGUUUUGCUCUGAAGGAAACAGACGUGCUCUUAUUUACGAGUUUAUGCCCAACGGAUCACUUGAAAAAUUCAUCUUCUCAAAGACAAAUAGCUCAAGUCAUCGUCCAUUGAGUUGGGAGAAGCUGAGGAAGAUUGCAUUUGGCGUUGCCCGUGGAGUAGAGUACUUGCACCAAGGGUGCAGCCAAAGGAUCCUGCACUUCGAUAUCAAGCCUCACAAUAUAUUAUUAGACCAUAAUUUUCAACCGAAGAUUUUAGAUUUUGGACUGGCUAAGUUGUGCUCGAAGGACAUAAGCAUUGUAUCUAUGACAGCUGCCAGAGGCACUUCUGGCUACAUUGCACCUGAACUUUUCUCCAGGAAUUUUGGUGAGAUCUCAUACAAGUCUGAUGUUUACAGUUAUGGAAUGAUGCUGUUAGAGAUGGUCGGAUGCAGAAAAAAUAACGAUCCUGCGGUUGAAAUUCAUAGCCAAAUAUAUUUCCCAGAGUGGAUUUACAAUAGAAUGAGGCAAGGACAAGAGCUCUGUUUCGAUUUUGAGGAAUAUGUGGAUGAGGGAAUUGCCAGAAAGCUUGCAAUUGUGGCACUUUGGUGCAUUCAAUGGAAUCCCACGGAGAGACCUUCCAUGCCAAUUGUAUUACAAAUGCUUGAAGCUGAUUUACAAAGCUUGGAGAUCCCUCCAAUGCCCUUUGUUUCUGCUGAUGUUGAGGCAGGUGCAAUCAAUUGAUCUAGAUAGCAGAAGAUUACAAUUAAAAAGGGAUAUUGUUAAUUUGUUUCCAAUUUUCCCCGAUUAUAAGCUAAAUUAUUUAGUCCUUGUUAUUGGAACGCUUGAAAACCACUAAAUUGAGUUUUUGUUUGACUGUGGUUGUUUUAUUUAUCGCUUAAAAGCUUUGAUGUGUUCGAAUGAUACAACAUUAAUACAACUAUGGAUGAACUUUAGUCUAUUUUUAAACACAUCAUUGACAAAAAAUUAAGUAUAACUAUCGCUGAAAGAGCAUUCCUUUAUUGAUAGGCUUAUAGUUCCCAAAGAGGGUAGUUGGCAGAAACUCCUUGAGCUAGGUUGCUUUAGAAAAGGCUCGCAGGAUCGAGUAUUUAUAGAACGGAUGUGAUGUGUGCAGUCUUCAUUUCAACAUUUAAGUCUCACAACAUCCUGCUAGAUCCUAAUUCCUUCCCCAAGGUCUCAGAGUUCGGCCCUUGCAAAAUUUCAUCCCAAGGAAAAUGAUUUUGCUCCCAUCAGCGCCACAGGAGGAACAACAUAUAGGUUAAAAUAUUACCUGAGCUAUGACUAAGGCGCUGAUCGCUCCUCUGUGACAAAAAGUUUUGAAAAUUUUAGAAGGGAGUAUUGACGAUUUGCAAAUGCCUCCAAAACCUUUCUCAUCUUCUUCUCGACAUAUAUUUGGAAGAGAGAUUGAAUCAGAUUCUUCAACAGAGUUGUUAAUGUCUGAAUCAGUGAAGGAAUGAUCUUUCGGUGAUAUUUAGGUUUAAUUUUGCCAAUGAUGAAUGUAAAAUGAAUAAAUGAAUAACGUGCAGUUAAUGACAAAUGUUCUUCUUCUUCUCAUUGCUUUAUCUCGAAUUGGAGCCUAAGGCACACACGUUUUGCGAGUGAUAGAUAAUUUAGUUGUUGAAAUCUUUUGAGUUAAUACAACAAGUUUCAGAUUUGAAUAUGUCCAUAUGGGUGGCAAAAGAAUUUAACUAGAGGUGUGCUAAGCUUAACUUAAAACUCUGAGGUGGCCACUUGGGAUUGUAGCCCAGUGGUGAACCAUUGCCCUUAAAGUUAAGUAUGACUAUGAGGGCAAUAGUUUAAGUCCCCACGGACUCAAAAACUCCCUCAAUAUUAAGCAUAAUUGUGUGGAGAUUACUUAUAACAUAUUUCUCCCUUGCAAAAUGUGAGUGGAGUAGAGACAUCCCUCCCCUGUGAGGGGUAUUUGGCUAGACAUGUACUUCAUAGAAUAAAAAAUGUAAUAAUGUAAGUCCCAGGUAUAUAAUGACCUGCUAUCAUAGCAGUUGUAAAUAUCUUUAUGACUUGGCUGGGCUUGUACUUCAUAGAAUGAAAAAUGUAAUAAUAUAAGUCCCAGGUAUAUAAUAGUUAAAAAUGAUGAGUUUGUUUGUUUACUAAGAAAAUGAAAGGAAAAAUCAGAGAAACAGAGAAGAGAACUUGUAUUUUAUUCAUUGUAUAUUUCGAUUAGUUACACACGUUUAUAUACUAUGAUCUGGAAUCUUCUUCAUUCUGUUUAGACGUGCUAGAUUAGCUGAGCUAGUAACUGAAACUAACUUGCCACAUAAGCAGCCACGUCAGCAUGUAUAACAGACUCUGUUUAACUAACAAUAUUAAUCAGCAUGUGAUUAAUUAAUUAUCUUAACAAUAAUGACAUGCUAUCAUAGCAGUUGUAAAUAUCUCAAUGACCUGGUUGGGCUUGUACUUCAUAGAAUAAAAAAUGUAAUAAUAUAAGUCUCAGGUAUAUAAUGACCUGCUGUCAUAGCAGUUGUAAAUAUCUCUAUGACCUGCUAUCAUAGCAAUUGUAAAUAUCUCUGUGUAAUACAGUAACCUGAUCUUUAAUCAGUUCAAAAAAAAAACUCUGAGGUGUAAAUUUUCUUCAUUAUUUUACCCCCACAUUGAAAAGUAAUCACAAAAAAUCAGGUCAAUGGCUUCAUUUAGCUUAUUCUUUAUUAUUGUUUUAUGCAAAUGUCAUGGAGGACUACUCUCUUGUGGGGUUGCCAUUGACUUAAAUAAAAUGCUUUUAAGCCAUACAAAAAUGAAUGGCUAUCUUUAAUAUUACACUAAAAAACAUCUCUCUUUCUCUGUAAAUCCAUGUCACUUUUUCUGAGUUCAAUAAUCUUCUUCCUUCUCUUCCUUACACAGAAGCCAAAACUUCAUAAGGAAACAACGAUACAAAUAUUUAUGAACGUUGUCAACCAACAAAAUGAAACAUACCAUAUCAGAUUCCCCCUUUAGAAUCAAAUUUAAAUGAUUAAGAUUGCUUAUGAUAACACAUACCCUACUAAGUUUAUUUAAUAAAUGAUUACAAUUUACACACGCACUCUUUACAUUAUUAUACCCUUUAUUUGAACAACUAAAUGUACUUUAUAAUAACUACUAAUAUAACAUUGAAACAAAAACAAAUGUAAUAAAUAAAAUUAUCAUAUAUUUUAUAUAUCAAAGCAUGUUGUGUGUUCUCAUAAAAAAAAUGAAUUACUGUCUUCGAGUUUGUGGUGAGAAAUUAAAGUAGCGAGCGAAAGAUGUUGACUGGAUUGUUGCAUGCGUGGAAAUUGUUACAAAAUUUUUGUCUCAAUUUGAAGGUUUACUAAGAAAUUUCAGGUCAAGCUAGGGUCAUCAUCACCGACGCAAACUUGCAAUCAAAACGUUUACUAAGAGUUGACUGACUUGUAAGAGUGUCCGGUGUCCCCUCUCGCAUGGAUGCUAAAAGUCUUGCGCUCAAACAAAUUCAAUUAAUAUGCUCUUUUAAACCUUUUCAAUUUCCCCACCUUUGUUUAUUAUUAUUUUUAAAAUAAGAUAAUACUACUUUUGAACGAUUAAUUAUUGCUAUAUCAUCUUCAGCUAGUAGAAUCAGAUAGUUGAACGCUAUAAUAAAUUUACUAUAUGCAUGUGCUCCGUUGUUAAGUGAUGAUGUAAAUACGUAUCCAAAACUUUGAAAAUGCAACCUUCUGUUUAAUUUACUGAAAUUCAUUGUAUCUUGGGAUUGCAUUAACAAUGAGUGGGGAAGAAUCAUCAAUUCUCCCAACUCUUCUGUUUUGUCUAUUGAUCUAUCUACUCACCACUGAAAUUGAAGCAAGAGAAGUACUUCCACAAAUCUGUUCUUCUUCUUGUGGAGAUAUCAAAAACAUAAGUUACCCUUUUCGCCUAAAGGGAGAUCCAUCGGGAUGCGGUUAUCCUGAGUUCGAACUGUCUUGCCAGAGCAACCAAACCAUCCUAGAAUUUUUCAAUUCUAUAAAGUACUAUGUAAAGAGAAUUUCCUAUGACAAAAGCAAAAUCAGUGUUGUCGAUGUUAACUUAGCCAAUGGAAGCUGCAGCCUUUCACACACACCUUUUCCCAGAGAAAUCUUUCUCGACCGUUACGAUGGUCGCUAUUUUGAUGAUACCGAUCGGGUUUAUUCACUUGAUUAUAAUAAAUACCUGUAUGCCUAUUUCGUGAAUUGCUUGAGGAUCUCAUUGAUCAGGCUUUUGUAAAAGUUCCAUGUUUGAGUGGAGGAAAUCAGUCAAAUUUUUAUGUUAAUUACCAUGGCUCCUAUGUAUCGGACUUUUCAGAGUCAUGCUCGUUCGUUUCAAUGGUUCUUGUACAUAAUGGGAAUGUAGAAAAUCCUUCUUAUGAAGCCCUCCGAGAAUUGCUGGUGACAGGAUUCGAUCUUAGAUGGUCAGUUGGAUGUAGGAAUUGUUUUACAGCCCGUAGAGGAUACAUUAUUACUAUUAUAGCGGGAUAUUUUGAUUGCUUCCAUUAUAGCUCAAUUACAAACGGUAAGCUUAUGCUUAUAUGUGCAUACAAAUAAAUGGAGACCUUUUAUUUAUUAUUUUCAAUCUUAAUCUUUUAUGUAUUUAAGAAUUUGCGAACCAUCUCUAAAAGAGUAUGUUUACCAGUAUGACCCUUAAUCUCUGUUUCUUUUGAACUUCUGCAGUCUUUGCUGCAUGCCACGCCGCACCGGGAGUAUUCAAAAAAUUUACCUGCUACCAAGAACUUUUGACACGUAAUAAGCCUAUGCUUACAUAUUUUAAAUUCUGCGAUUGUGUUUCUUGGUGUUAAAUUGAUGGCAUCAUGUAAUUUGUUUAUUUAUUUUCCAAUCUUGUGCUAAAUAACUUUUUCUAAAUCAUCUCUGUGUAUGUAUUUAUAAAGCCUAAUCUUUUUUCCUCGGCUUGCAGUUUCCUACAAACUCCCGCCACUUUUCGACAGCCUCAAAUUGUCACUGUUAGGUAUGGUUUCCUGGCUGGAAUUCCUGUUCCUGUUAUUUCGAAUUCAGCUACUUACCUAGAAUUAAACUUUCUUGUUUCCAGCGGUGCAUUCGUGUAUGUUACAAUUACUAGGUUCAUACUUGGUUCAACAGUUUUACUUGUGUUCCUUAUCCACAAAUACAGAACAACAUUGAAAACAAUUGAUAAUAUUGAGAAAUUUAUGCGCAACCAGCAAUCAUGGAUGCCUAAAAGGUACUCUUACCCUGAGAUAAUUGCCAUGACAAACCACUUCGCUCAUAAAUUAGGCCAAGGUGGCUUUGGUUCAGUUUAUGAAGGACAACUUCAUACCGGUCGCUUGAUUGCUGUUAAGAUGUUGGAGAACUCCAAGCUCAGUGCGGAGGAAUUCAUCAACGAAGUUUCAACAAUAGGUAGAAUUCACCACGUUAAUGUGGUCCAGUUAUUGAGGUUCUGUUCUGAGGGAUCCAAAUGUCCACGUGUCUACGAGUUUAUGCCUAAUGGAUCACUAGAUAGGCAUAUCUUUCCUAAGGAAAGUAGAGGCCAAUCUUUUAGUUAGGAGAAACUCCACGAAGUUGCUUUAGGAACUGCUCGUGGGAUCGAGUAUUUACACAACGGAUGUGAUGUGUGCAUUCUGCAUUUUGACAUUAAGCCUCACAACAUCCUGCUAGAUCAUAAUUUCAUCCCAAAGGUCUCAGAUUUCGGCCCUGCAAAGUUUCAUCCCAAGGAAAAUGAUUUUGUGUCCAUCAGUGCCACAAGAGGAACCAUAUGAUACAUAGCACCUGAGCUGAUUUCAAGGAAUUUUGGAAUUGUUUCUUGCUGUUAAGGAAGCUCAUUGUGCUGAGCUUAUGAAGAAUAGAAAGGUGAAGAAGCCGUUAGUCUCAGCAAGUGAAGUUAGUUAAUCAUGCCAGCUCAGCAGUGCCAAGUCAUCAGAGUAAGUUAUGAAAUAACAAGUCAGGACAAGUUGUUAAAGUCUGUUAUUAAUAAAUCUUGUGUAUAUAACUAAUCUCGUGAGUAUAUAAGUUGUGAUUGAUUCAGUUGUAAAGUGAUUUGACAAAAGUCCAGAUUCAAUGAAAUAAAAUUUUUCUCUGCAACUUUUCUCUCAAAACAAACAGCUCAAGUUUUCUUUCAUGGUAUCAGAGCCACAAUGGCUAGUUCCAGUACAACUAAUCAAAAUCAUUCGAUUGUUCAUAAAACUCAAUCUACUCAAAUUUCGUUUACUUUUGCUACAACCGUCAAGCUUGAUCGAUCUAAUUUUCUUCUCUGGCGUAAGCAAGUUCUGACUUCAAUCAGAGGAAAUAGACUUGAAGGAUUUAUCUCAGAAAAUCAAAAUAUUCCAGAACAAUAUUUGUCUCAAGCUCGAACUGAUGGAUCUGUGGAGAGAACUGAGAAUCCAGCAUAUGUUAAUUGGAAAGCUCAGGAUCAGACUCUGCUUAGCUGGCUCUUUUCAACUAUAAGUGAAGGUAUUCUAAGCUCAGUUCUCAAUUAUGAUACUUCAUUUGAUGUCUGGAAAUCGAUUGAAAAGCAAUUUGGAGUCCAAUCUGAAGUAAAGGUAAUGCAACUUCGAUAUGAAUUGAAAAGAAUCAUUGUCGAUUGAAGAAUAUUGCUCAAAGAUGAAGAUACUUGCUGUUGAUGCGAGAUUCUGGUUACCCUCUCUACCUUGACCAGGAUCUCUCCUCAACCAACUCGACCACGAUCAAAAUAUCUCCUCGUAAGACUUCUUCUCUAGAGGCUCCUGCGUACACAGAAACAAGUCAGAGCAUGCCAGGUGUUUUCCCGGCGUAAACCCUCCGAUGCUCAAGUCAGAAAUGAAGGUUUCGUGUUCUUGGGAAAGUUAGCCACUGAUCUUAUGGCUUCUUUUUGGGUCUCAAUUAUUCAGAGCUCUCUUUAUCUUGAUUUCAAUGUCAAAAAAUCUAACACUUUUACCUUCGUUGGCUAUCUUUUUAUAGGCUUCUCUUGAGUUCAGACCUUCCCUCAAUCCACGCUCAUUACCUUCCCACCUCUCGGAAGUAGAUGCUCCGUUUCCGUAAUCGUGGGUGGUUGCAUGACCUUCGUGCCUUGAUUCUUGGGUUGGAGUGCACGUCUCACCAACUGUCGUUGACCGGGUUUCCUCGCCUCAACCCCUAGCAGGAAUGUCUUUAUGCUUUUAAUACGAGACCGGCCUCGCGGAUGGCGUAUUCGUGGUCGAGCAGAAUAUUCCUGCUCAUGUUCCCCAGCUAACAGACUCCUGCCAGAUAUACCUGCUCGUGAAACCCUGCUACUAAAUGUCUGCUCAUCACGGCUGGUCCUAUCGAAGUACAUCACCCAAACACCGGUCCCCUAGUUUCUGGUGUUGGGUAACAUAGUGAGCCGACAAUAGAAACUCAACAGUUCUGGCUCGCGCGGGAUAGGAAAAGGCUGCCAAGAGUCGUGUCGCAUUUAAUUGCGGAUGAGGUGAUGUGGCAGAAAUCUACCCUUCCGUUUGAAUUUCAAAUCGAUGGUUACGAAACUCUUGGGAUUUGUGCCGUUAAAUGCUGGCAGCCCAAGAGUUUGUUCCUCAUUAGGAAAACCCGAAACCCCCAAAAGAGAAACUCGUCAUUUACUCACUUCCUGUCUCUCCGGCGGAUGAGUAUCGGCAUAAAAGCUUCCAUCCCUAUCUUUCAUCCUUGUCUCUCUCCGACUGAGCCACAACUUCAGGUAUUAUUUCUACUUCCUCGGUCAUGGAUAGUUGUAGACAAUUUCUUUUCUCUCUGUUUUGUUUGGGUAGUGUUUGGUGAUAUUGUUCUAGUUAUAGUUUAGGGAAUGUCAAAAGGUAAAGAGAAGGUCAUUGAGAUUGACGACGAGGAGUUAGACUUCUUACCUAGUCUGCUCGCCGAUCCUGCCUUUGACCCCGGGAUCCCCUUAGAACCCAUUAGAUCUAGUGUUGGGACUAGUGCUAGGAGGAUGUUCCCCUAAAUAACCUCCUCAAGCAACAAUAAUGGCGACGAGGGAUUUUCUGGUUCGGAAGACACCCUGAGUGAGGAUCAGGGAGAUGAUUAUGGUGAAAUGUCUUCACCAGGAACAUCGCGACCAGAUAGGAGGGUCACAGUAGGAGGUAGAGCUCUAUCAGAGCAUUACGCUAUUGAUUUCAUCACAUGCACGACCACAGUAGAUGAGCUCACUAACCUCCGGGUUAGGUAUGGAAUUCCUGAUGAUAUUUCUCUUAAGAUCCUAGGAAAGAAAGAUACUCCUAGUCGGCCUCCUACGGGAUAUGUUACUCUAUUUCUGGAGGGUUUUAAACUUGGGCUGAGGUACCCCCUGCAACCCUAUUUUGCCCGAAUACUUAAUGGGUUAAAUUUAGCUCCUGGUCAGCUGAAUCCUAACGGGUGGAGAGUACUCUCUGGUCUGUUCAUAUUAUGGGAUAGAUGUUGCCAAAACGAGCCCACAGUUGAUGAGGUGAAGCACUUGUAUCAGCUAAAGAGUAGUCCCAAAGAUGCCGGCUGGUAUUACUUCCAAUCAAGUGCUAAGACCAGGAAACCCAUAACUGAUCUUCCAACUGGUGGUGGUGGGAAUUGGAAGAAAAAAUUCUUUUUUACUGGGGGUCCCUGGGGUCAAGUUGCACAGAUUGACGAGAAGGUUUUCGCGUCCCACCCCGUUUCGUGGUCCCAGGUUACCUGCUCGCUUUAGAUGUUUUUUCUCCAUAGUUGUUCUCACUUUGCUGAUUUGUCUCUAAUCCAAUAUCUGUUUGCAUUGCAGGUUCUUGGGGUGUGCACUACCCGCUUAAACCUUAGCAGCUCAAGCGGGUCGAGGCUUUACUGGUCAAUUCCUGUUCGAACCGAGAGCUGCUAACUACUUACAACUUGGUCGAAUCUGGUUUGGUAUCCACCGGCCAUAAGAUAGAGGAUGCUGUGAUCGGGGCUCUGAAUCGGAAACGUCCUCGACCUCAUACUGCCAAGCGAGACCAGAGUAAAGAUGCUCCCACUGCGAAGCGAGUGAACAUUGUACAGCAGGUUCCCCCCUUGAAGACUCUAUCACCUUCUCCUGCCAAAGCCGGGGAGACCAGUGGAGUAGCCACUGACCCUGCUUCCUCUUCUCCACCAGCUGGGCCGAGAUCUCGCUUAUCUGACCAUCGAGCAGAGCAUCUAGUCUCCUACAUCAGUGAGUUUUCUCGGCUCAUGAGCAAGAAGGACUUGGAGGACUUCGACGGCAGUACUCUGGGUGAGCUGGUGGGAGCUAUGCAGUAUAACGCUUUUCACCUCGGCUGCAUGGCCACCUACUAUAAGGCGAAGGUCGGUCGCUAUGACCGGAAGAUGAAGGAGGACAUUCAAUUAGUCAAGACCAAAGCUGAUGCUGUCGAGAAAAGAGCAGGAGACCUGAAUCUCGAGAAUUUGAAGCUGAUAGAGUGAGAAUCUCUCGGUCAAGCAAAGGCCAUUACUUUUGAGGAAGAGCUGACUACGGUCAAAGAGGAUCUGCAAAGGCAGAAGGCUAUGUACGAGGCUCAGCUCGAAUCUCUCCGGGAUGCCCACCAGGUUCAGGUCGAGAACCUAGAGAAGGAAGCUGACAACCAGUAUGACCAGGGGCUUCGGCACUCCUAUCGCUGCAUCAUGGCUGUCUUAGGGAACCAGCACCCUGAUCUAAAGAUGGAUGAGCUUGCUGCUGAUGUUGCUCAAUACAUCGACGAGGAGGCAACAAAAGAGGAUGUCGAUGAGGUGGAGCCAAAUGCGGCUGAUGAAGGAAACUCUCCUCCUCGUGCAGUCCCUGCUGAUGUUGCUGAGGCGAGUACCUCCCGGGUGUAACUGGCGAUACUCCCCUGCACCUGAGGUGGACCAGACAAUCGAGACUGCCCAGCUUACUGACCCGCUGUCCUCUUGAAUGUAUCUUGCAUUGUAGUUACUUUUUUAGAACACUGUAUGUUAAGAAUAGCAGCUUUUAUUGGUAAAUCAAUAAGAAUGUUCUUAUUUGUUUUCUUUGCCUCGAGCUCUUGGCAAAUUAUUUUAUUUUUUGGUAAAUUAUUUUUAUUCGUUAAAAUUGAUCAAUUAAAAGUUCGGCUUCCUGUUGCCCUACGUUUAAGAGUCUGCUCGCCUUAGCCUGGUCGAGCCGAUUCUGGCACACUUGACUUUUGGUCUCGCCAUAAAAUAAGCUUUGAGACUUAGUCUUUGCGUGCCUUAGAAAAUUUUCAAUACUUGGGAGUAUGCUCGCCUUCGCUUGGUCAAGUAGAUCCUGACACGCUUAGCUUCUGGUCUCGCCCUAAAACAGGCUUUGAGACUUAGUGAGCCUUUGCAUGCCCUUGAAAUUUUUCAAUGAUUAGGAUUCUGCUCACCUUCGAUUGGUCGAGCAGAUCCUGGCACGCUUGGCUUCUGGUCUCGCCAUAAAACAGGUUUUUAGACUUAGCCUUUGCCUGCCUUAGAAAAGUUUUUCAAUGAUUGGGAUUCUGCUCGUCUUCGCUUGGUCGAGUAGAUCCUGGCACGCUUGGCUUCUGGUCACGCCAUAAAACAGGCUUUGAGACUUGGUGAGCCUUCGCAUGCCUUAGAAAUUUUUCGAUGCUUGGGAUUCUGCUCGCUUUCGCUUGGUUGAGUAGAUCCUGGCAUGCUUGGCUUCUGGUCUCGCCAUAAAAUAGGCUUUGAGACUUAGCCUUUGUCUGCCUUAGAAAUUUUUCGAUGCUUGGGAUUCUGCUCGCUUUCACUUGGUCGAGCAGAUCCUAGCAAGCUCGGCUUCUAUUCUCGCCAUAAAACAGGCUUUGAGACUUGGUGAGCCUUCUCAUGGCUUAGAAAUUUUUCGAUGCUUGAAAUUCUGCUCGCCUUCGCUUGGUCGAGCAGAUCCUGGCACGCUUGGCUUCUGGUCUCGCUAUAAAACAAGCUUUGAGACUUGGUGAGCCUUUGCAUGCCCUAGAAAUUUUUCGAUGCUUGGGAUUUUGCUCGCCUUGGCUUGGUCGAGCAGAUCUUGGCACUCUUGGCUUCUGGUCUCGCCAUAAAACAUGCUUUGUGACUUGGUGAGCCUUUGCAUGCCUUAGAAGUUUUUUGCACCGUUACAAGUGAAUGAAAUUCCUCGACGUUUCAUUAAUCGCUGAAUUCAACUUACAUAAGAAUGCAUAGCAACGAGAACAAAUUGAAAUAAUUUUAAAACAUGAUCAAGUCUGACUGGAAAUAUUUCCUAAGGUGCGCUGCGUUCCAUGGGCAUUUCACCUCGUGGCCAUCCGUGCGAACAAGCUUGUAAGCUCCGGGUCCAACUAUCUGCUUGACCCUAUAUGGCCCCUUCCAAUUCUGUCCAAGCACUCCUUGAGUCGAGUCUUUCAUGUUAUGAUUCACUCUCCUUAACACCCAAUCUCCGACCUUGAACUGUCGUACAUUCACCUUCUGGUUGUAAUACCGAGCAACCCUCUGCUGGUAGACGGUUGGUCGCUUUGAUGCUUGCUCCCUCUUCUCAGUUAGCAAAUCCAGGUUUAGGCACAUACGCUCGUUGUUCUCCUGCUCAUCGAAAUGAUAUGUCCGGUGCGUGGUCGUCCCUAUCUCGACUGGUACAACCGCUUCAUGUCCGAAGGCCAAGGCGAAUGGAGUUUCCCCAGUUGCUGUUUUGUGGGUUGUCCUGUAUGCCCAUAAUACACCUGAUAGCUCAUCAACCCAUGCACCCUUUUUUGUUCCAAGCCUGGUUUUUAAAAGCCUCUUGAUCGUCUUGUUGGCUGCUUCUACUUGUCCGUUAGACUGAGGAUGAGCAUGCGAGCAAUACUUCAAUUCUAUCCCGAGGUUCUGGCAGAAGUCCCUGAAGUUCUGGUUAUCAAACUGCCUACCAUUAUCUGUUAUAAAAGCAUAAGGGAUCUCGUACCGACAGACCAGGUUUCUCCAUACGAAGUCAGUUGUCUUUUUCUCUGUGAUCCUACUAAGGGCUUCUACCUCUAUCAACUUCGUGAAAUAGUCUAUUGCUACUAUUGCAUGUGUUGCUGCUCCUCGUCCUUUUGGCAAUGGCCCAAUCAAAUCAAUUCCCCAUUGAGCAAAUGGCCAUAGGGAGGCCAUAGAAGUGAGCUUCUCCUGCGCAUCCUGGUGCAUUGUCGGCCAAAAAUAUCCCUGCCUUAGAACCUUGUAGGCAAGGGAUCUCGCACCAGAAUGGUUCCCGCAAACUCCUUCAUGUACUUCUCUCAGCACGUAAUCUGCGUCGUACUCGUCUAAACACCGAAGGAACGGCAGGGUAUAUCCCCUCCGAUAUAAUACCCCGUCAAUCAUUGUGUACCUCGACGCUUGGGCUCUAGUCUUCCGAACUUGUAACUUAUCUGGUGGCAGUAUUCCAUUCUGGAUGUACGAGAUUAUCGGGUCCAUCCACGAGCACUUCUGUUCUAUCUGCAGCACCCCCAAAUUCUGCUCGAUGCUAGGGCUGGACUUCACCUCCAAAUGGAUUGACUUAGGCAUUUUCGGAUCUGCUACCACUGCCAUCCUGGCCAGAAUGUCUGCUCGACUAUUCUCCUUCAUUGGGAUUUAUAUCACCUCAACCGCUUCAAACUUCCCGAUCAUCUGCUUGACUUUCUUCAAGUACUGUUCCAUUUUCCCAUCUCUCGGCUGAAAUCUUUCACUGACAUGAUUUACAACUAGUUAGGAAUCAGUUCGGAUCUUCACCCUAUCCGCUUUUACCGCCUUAGCCAAUUCCAAACCUGCUAUUAGGGCUUCAUAUUCUGCUUGGUUAUUUGUGGCUGUGAACUCCAACUUUAUAGCAUAAGAGAUCUCCUCCCCUUCUGGGCCUUCCAAGACAAUCCCUGCUCCAGACCCCUACUCCCCUGAUGACCCAUCCACAGAUACCUGCUAUACUCGAGCUUCGUUUCUGGCUGUAGCAGUAUCCAGCUCCUCGAAACAUACUUCGGGCUCCGCGAAUUCUGCUACGAAAUCGGCCAUUGCCUGGGCCUUUAUUGCUGCUUGGGGCUUGUAACUUAUAUCGAACUCACUCAACUCUAUAGCCCAUUUUACUAGCCGACCAGAGGCAUCCGGCUUGUGUAGAGUUUGCCGUAACGGUUGGUUUGUGAUUACCGAGAUAGGGAAUGCUUGAAAGUAUGGCCUCAGCUUCCGAGCAGCAACCACAAGAGCCAGUGCCCAUUUUUCUAGCGGCGGAUAUCUGGUCUCAACAUCUAGCAGGGCCUUGCUCGUGUAAUAUAUUGGGUAUUGAACCCCUUCUUCUUCUCUCACCAGCACAGAACUUGUGGCAUGAUCCGAUACUGCCAAAUAUAGGAAUAACACGUCCUCAUCUCGUGGCGUGGACAACAAAGGAGCUUGCUGCAAAUACUGCUUCAAAUUCUGGAAAGCUUUUUCACAUUCAGGGGUCCACUCUGUUUUCUUUCCUCUCCUUAUCACUUGAAAGAAUGGCUGGCACUUAUCUGUUGCCUUGGAUAUGAAUCGGCUCAAUGCCGCCAAUCUCCCCGUAAGGCUCUGCGUCUCCUUUAGGUUACGAGGAGAUCUCAUCUGCACGAUUGCCUGAAUCUUCUCGGGAUUCGCUUCGAUCCCCCGAUGACUUACCAUGAACCCGAGAAAUUUGCCCGACUCGACCCCAAAAGCACACUUCUCCGGGUUGAGUUUCAUCUUAUACUUCUUCAAAAGUCCAAAUGUCUCAUCGAGGUGCUUGACAUGUUCCUUUGGGAUUUUUGACUUGGUUAUCAUGUCGUCCACAUACACCUCCAUUGUUCUCUCUAUCAGUGGUUUAAAGAUUUUGUUCACCAGCCUCUGGUACGUGGCCCCCGCAUUUUUAAGACCGAAUGGCAUUACCCUGUAACAGAACAAACCCUGGUUAGUAAUAAAUGUCGUGCUCUCCUCAUCCUGCUCGAACAUGGGGAUUUGGUUGUAUCCCGAAAAUGCUACCAUGAAUUUGAGCAGGCCAUGAUCGGCUGUUGAGUCUACCAGCUGGUCGAUCUUAGGUAAGGGAAAGCUGUCUUUCGGGCACGCCUUAUUGAGGUCUGUGAAAUCUACACACAUCCUCCAUUUGCCAUUAGCCUUUUUUUACUAACACCACAUUCGAUAUCCACUCAGGAUAGUUGACUUCCCGAAUGAACCCUGCCUUCAAGAGUUUCUCCACCUCGCCGUUUAUAGCCUCAUACCUCUCCUGGUUGAAGCACCUUCGUUUCUGCCUUACUGCCGAGCACUCUUUUUUUAUUGCCAACCUAUGGCAUGCGGCCUCAGGGUCGAUUCCCGGCAUGUCCUCAUGUGUCCAAGCAAACACAUCUGCAUGAGCUCGUAAGCAAUGCACCAGCUCUUGCUUCUGCUCAUCUUUAAGUUUUGACCCGAUUCGGACUAUUUUUCCUGGAUCAUCUUGCUGCAAGCUUACUGUCUCUAGUUCCUCUACAGGCUCAUGUCUGGCAUUCUUGGCCUCUACUCGAGUAUCAAGAGAUGUAAUCUGCAUUGCUUCCCUUGCUGCUGUGGAGUAACAGCUUCGGGCAAUUCUUUGGUCUCAUUCACCCGAUACUUGAGAGCUAGAUAAUGGUUGGAAAGUAUCGCUUUACUCAUGCUCAGAAAGGGGCGGCUUAGAAUCAUCUGAUAAGGACCCUCUUCAUCAACCACUACAAAAUCCAGUAUCAUGGUCUUUUCUGUCGGGGAGCUGCCAAUUGUGAUGGGCAGUUCGACCACGCCUAGAGGAACCAGCUUUCCUCCCCCAAAUCCCUUCAAGGAGGUAUUGGUAUGCUCUAAUCUCAAGUCUGCUAUUCCCAUCUCCUCCAUAGUUGACUUGAACAAAACAUCAACCGAGCUUCCUGUGUCAACCAGAAUCCGGUCAAACUUCUUGCUAGCAGCGGUGGCCUUGAUGACUAAGGCAUCCUCGUGUGGAUAUAGAAUCACUUCAUCAUCAUCAUCUGUCCACAUGAUUGGAACUUGCCUGACUCUUACUCGUUUGGCUGCUGGGGUGUUGAAGAAUACCUCUUUGCUAGUCAUUGCAUAUCUAGCAUAGUUCUUCCUCGACCUGUUGGAAUCUCCUGCCAACGUCGGGCCCCCAGCAAUCACUCUUACUAUAGGCUGCUCGUGGCUCAAGUUUCUAUCACUCUGCUCCCCUUCACAUGUCGAGGCCACCAUCGGGAAAGUCCUAUCUAUAAACUCGUCCAGGUAUCGAUUUCUCACCAAAUCGUCAACCUAGGUCUUGAAAUCUCUACAUUCUGUUGUGGUAUGGCCAUGAGUGCUAUGGAACUUGCAAUAGCGUCCCCUAUCCCUUAUGCUGGGUAGCUUUGUUAUUGGGGUAGGGAGGUAGAGUAAUCUCUGGUCUUUUAUGGCCUCGUACACCUCGUCCAGGGGCAUCUUCAAGGAAGUAUACAGUCCAUAGUCCUGGUUCUGGUCGAUCAUGUGCACUGCCCUUUCUCUGUUUGUGCCGUUCUGAACUGGAGGAGGUGGCAACGCUUCUGGUCUGCUCCCUCUACCACCAUAGGGGUGUGGAUGAGGAUGACCAUAUGCCGAGUCAUGCCUCCUCUAAGGCUCCCUAGCUGGUGAACGAGGAGGUUGCGCCCUGCUGCGCUGAUACUGUGGUGGUCUCUGAUGAGGCUGGUAAGCGGUGACCUGACCUCCUGAACCACUACCCGAGGCAUGGUGGUCCCUCCUCUUGAUCGGCCCAUUUCCUAGUAAGGCUCUCUUCUCUUUCCUUCUCAACCCUUCUAGCUGGUCUGUCUUAAUCCGUGCUGCCUUUUUCUCCUCAAUCUCUAUAUCCCUCUUAGCCUGCUCGUAAGCGGCUGCAUACGUCUGAAUGACUGAGCUCCUCAAAUUGUACCACAGCCUUCCUAUCUUCACCCCUUCUUUCAAUCCCCUUAAUGCCUGAGGAUGGUUGAAGGCUCCCAAGUCGAGGACUGCGCGAUAAAACCUCUUGAUGAAUUCCCGAAGGGUUUCUUCCUCUCCUGCUUCAUGCUUUUCAACUCCAUCAUGUCAUCUUCCGGUGCCAUUGCCCCACGAAACUGCUCUGUAAAUUCCUGGCACAUCUGUUCGAAGGAUUUAACGCUUCCUUGAGGAAGUUUUCGGUACCACUCACGUGCUCAUCCCUCCAGAGACAGCAGGAACACCCUGCAUCUUUGAGCUUGGGAUAAUCCUUGCACCUCAGUUAUGUCGUUAAAGCACUCUAUGUGCACCAACGGAUCGGUUCGCCCCGAGUACCUGAGGUGUGGGAGGCGAAAAUCCCUUGGAAUGAUUGCUCUCAUGAUCUCUGCCGAGAGCGGGGAUUCUCCGUCCAGCAUUAUCCUCCAACCAGGUGCUCUGCUCCUUCCUUGCAUGUCAUCAAUUACCUGCGCUAAUCUGUGCACUUCUUCCUCCAGCUGUACUGCACGACCAGGGUCACGUGCUGCAACUUAAUCCCACUCUUGCUCUACAUCAUAUAAGUGUUGCCUGAGCUCUGUUUCCUCUGCAUUCGCCACCCCGUCAUCAUUAUCAAAAAUUUGCCUUCCUGGGGAUUGGUCUUCUCCUCUAUGGACUUAUCCCCAUAAAGAUAAGUUACCUCCCUCACCACCAAAUCUUCUGGUGGUCCGACUUCUCAUCAUAUCAUCGUGCCCUGGUGCCAUUCCGCUACUUCUCACCAUUUCCUCAUGGAUUCCCCUUCGUUCACUCCUCAGCUCAUGUAGGAUGGUUGUCAAGGUCUUCAUCUGCUUUUUCAUCUGUUCCAUCCGGUCGUACAUGGCUUUUUCCCGUGCUUCAUUGGCUAUCUUCCUUAACGUCACGGAUUUGUUAAGCCUCAUAUCACCUCCUUGGGCACUACUUCCUCCUACAUUCAUUGUUCAUUCACUUGCUUUAUUCUUCUUCUUUCUGUCAACAGAAGCUUUUUGUUCAGCUCCCCACGGACGGCGCCAAAAUAUUGAUGCGAGAUUCUGGUUACCCUCUCUACCUCGACCAGGAUCUCUCCUCAACCAACUCGACCACGAUCAGAAUAUCUCCUCGUAAGACUUCUUCUCUAAAGGCUCCUGCGUACACAGAAACAAGUCAGAGCACGUCGGGUGUUUUUCCGGCGUAAACCCUCUGACACUCAAGUCAGAAAUGAAGGUUUCGUGUUCCUGGGAAAGUUAGCCACUGAUCUUAUGGCUUCUUUUUGGGUCUCAAUUAUUCAGAGCUCUCUUUAUCUUGAUUUCAAUUUAAAAAAAUCUAACCCUUUUACCUUCGUUGGCUAUCUUUUUAUAGGCUUCUCUUGAGUUCAGACCUUCUCUCAAUCCACGCCCAUUACCUUCUCACCUCUUGGAAGUGGAUGCUCUAUUUCCGUAAUUGUGGGUGGUUGCAUGGCUUUCGUGCCUUGAUUCUCGGGUUGGAUUGCACGUCUCGCCAACUGUCGUUGACCGAGUUUCCUCGCCUCAACCCCUAGCAGGAAUGGCUUUAUGCUUCUAAUAGGAGACCGGCCUCGCGGAUGGCGUAUUCGUGGUCGAGCAGAAUAUUCCUGCUUCUGUGCCCCUGCUAACAGACUCCUGCCAGAUAUACCUGCUCGUGAAACCCUACUACCAGAUGUCUGCUCAUCACAGCUGGUCUUGUCGAAGUACAUCCCCCAAACACUUGCUAAUAAGCUUGCCUGUGCUGGUGAUAAUAUAACUGAAAAAGAUCUGCUAAUAAGAACUCUUAAUGGAUUAGGAUCUGGCUGUCUGGAUUUAGCUUCAAUAAUUACAGCAAAUAAAAUGAAUUAUGAUGAUGCAUAUGCACUUUUGUUGACUCAUGAGGCUAGAUUGGAACAAAAUCAGAAUUCUUAGAAUUCUCAAGCCAUGUUUAAUGCUAAUUACAGUAUGAUGAAUGCAAACUAUUCACAUAUAAGGGGAAUUCCUAGGAGAAAUACUUAUGGUAAUGAAUCUUUUGGUCAAUUUGGAGGAAGAAAUCAAAAUUUUGGUCGAGACAUAUUCUUUACUUCUUAUCCUAGAGGUUUUCCAGCUGGUAGUAGUACUGCUGGUGGUUUUGGCAGAGGACAUGCUGCAAGCUUUGGAAGGAAUUAACAGUUUACAAAUCAUCUUAGGUCACCACAUGUGAGGAAUGUAUUUUUACCUGGAAUGAACUCAAGCAUUUCUACUGGUGAAUCUAAUGAGUCAAUACCUGUGUGUCAAAUAUGUCACAAACAAUGUCAUACUGCUGAUGCUCGCUGGUAUAGAUAUGGUGAUAAUUACUCUCAUUCUCCAAAACAAUUUGGUAGAGGAAAAAUGAUGGGACCUAAAGCAGCAUAUAUGGCUAAUUUUGAGCCAUUCUCAUACCACCAGUCAGCUAUUGAAGAUCCUUAUGAAUUGUCUGGUUUCAACUCCAGCUGUCAACCAGUACAUUACUCUUCUGUUUCUUCUUAUUCAUCAGAAGUAUUUACUCUGCCUGAAGCUUAUGUUGUAAAUCUGGAAGAUUCAUCAGAUGAAGGGUGGUAUCUGGAUAGUGGUGCCACACAUCACAUUACAAAUAACAUGGCAAACAUGCAUGUACGAGAAGAGUUCAAAGGUUUAGACCAGCUUACUAUUGGAAAUGGACAAAGUUUGACAAUUACUCAUAUUGGUGAUGCCUGCUUUAACUAUAAAUGUCUUCAUACUGCCUGCAAGCACACACCUAUAACACUUAAGGAUAUCUUAUUAGUUCCUUCAAUUACUAAGAACUUAAUAAGUAUAUUUAAGUUGACAACUGAUAAUAACCUUUCCAUUGAAUUUGUUGGCAAUGUGUGUUAUGUAAAGGAUUCACUGAAGGGACGAGUGCUUCUGUAAGGUCUUGCUGAAAAAGGAUUAUACAAGUUACUGUUAAAGUCAUCUCAGACAUCUCCCUCUUAUUUCUUGAGUCAAAUCUCUUCAAAUAAGCCUUUGUCUAUGCUAUCUACUUGUCAUCUUUACUUUCCUGUUACAACUGGUGCUCAAAAUAAUCACUCAACUUCUAUGUCUUGUUAUCAAACUGUUGUCUCUCAUUGUAAUGCAUCAGUUAAUAAAAUCAAUUUGUUUCAUAGAAGAUUUGGUCAUCUUCAUCAUGAUGUACUAAUACAUUUGCAUAAGAAUGAUAAAACUAUCAAUCUCUCUACCAAUUUUAUCAAACACUCUGCUCAGCAAAUAUGUGAGGCAUGUCAAAUGGGCAAGGUUCAUAAACUGCAUUUUUCUGUUACUGAAACCAAAACUUCUCACAUACUUGAACUCAUUCAUACUGAUCUGUGGGGACCCUCACUUAUACCUUCUAGAGCUGGUUAUAUCUAUUAUAUCAGCUUUGUUGAUGAUUUCAGCCGAUAUACUUGGAUUUACCCAUUAAAGUUGAAAUCUGAAGCCUUACAAAUUUUCAAAUUAUUCAUAUUGCAAGUUGAAAAAUAGUUUCAAUGCUCAAUUAAAAAGUUGCAAUCUGACUGGGGGGUAGAGUACCGAGCAUUUACUGAAUUCUUGAAUCAAAAUGGCAUUAUUUUCAGGCACUCAUGUCCCUAUACACAUCAUCAAAAUGGGGUAGUUGAGAGAAAGCAUAGGCAUGUAGUUGAAUUAGGUCUCACACUUUUAGCUCAAGCUAAGUUACCUUUACAAUUUUGGUAGGAAGCUUUCCAAACUGUUGUUUAUCAUAUUAACAGGUUGCCUUCUGCAACUCUGAAAUUUCUUACACCAUAUGAAAAGCUUUUCAGUCAUAAACCAUAUUACAAGAUGCUCAAAUGUUUUGGCUGUGCAUGCUAUCCUUAUUUGAGAGAUUACAACAAGCAUUAGUUUGUAUAUCAUUCUAGUAAAUGUAUUUUCAUAGGUUACAGCCCAUCUCAUAAAGGGUACAAGUGUUUACACCCAUCUGGUCAAACCUAUAUAGCUAGACAUGUUGUUUUUUAUGAGAAUUUGUUUCCUUACUCAUCAGAUUCUGCUUUCACUUCAAACUCAUCAAAUUCAUGUUCAAACAUACCAUUUACUCCUCAACAAGUGUAUCAUCUAUCCACUUUGUCAAUGUCUCCAAUAUCAGAUAACAGCAACUACUAUAAUCAUGAUUCUGCAAGACCUACCAGUGGUACUUCUUAUCACUCAGGUAAUUCUGCAUACAACAUUGAUCCUCACUUUUCAUUACAAACAGUUCAACCACAUACAGAGCCAGAGCCUUAUAUUUCUCCUCAUGAUCAAAUAUCACUAAACACUAUUCCAUCUACCUCAGCUCUAGAACAUACACAACAUAUUACUACACCAGUAAACACACAUUCCAUGAUCACUAGAAGCAAUGAUGGGAUUUUUAAACCAAAACUCUACAAUGUCACACUUAGGGUUGGCAGAAAAGCCAGGGCCGGCCCAGGCCCGCGUAGGCCCGGCCCGUGGCUUGAAAGUAUGGGUAAGGGCUCAUAAUUAAUAAAGCCCAUAACAUAUGGGCUCAGUCAAGGGCCUAAAUGAAAAGCCCGGGCUUUAUAAUAAAUAAUAUAUAUAUAUAUAUAUAUAUAUAUAUAUAUAUAUAUAUAUAUAUAUAUAUAUAUAUAUAUAUAUUGGUCAUCAUAUUUCUAAAGGAACAAUCACUCCAAUCGAGAGAUCUCUUUUGUUUGCUGAUAAAUUUCCUGAUAAAAUUCUUGACAAAACCCAAUUACAAAGAUUUCUUGGCAGUUUGAAUUAUGUUCUUGACUUCUGCCCUAAUAUUAAUAGAAUGUCUAAGCCUUUGCAUGACAGAUUAAAAAAGAAACCUGCUCCUUAGACAGAUGAACAUACAAAAGUUGUUAGAUUAAUAAAGAAUUCUGUAAAAAGUAUCCCAUGUUUAUAUCUUGCUAAUCCUACAUUACCUAAAAUUGUUGAGACUGAUGCAUCUGAUUUAGGUUAUGGAGGCAUAUUAAAGCAAAAGGAAAAUGAUAAAGAACAGAUAGUACAAUAUGUUUCUGCACACUGGAAUGAUUGCCAGAAAAAUUAUUCUACUAUCAAAAAGGAAAUCCUUUCCAUUGUUUUAUGCAUUACAAAAUUUCAAAGUGAUUUAUUAAAUAAAAAAUUUCUACUUAGAAUUGAUUGCAAAGCUGCAAAACAUGUUUUGGAAAAAGAUGUUCAAAAUAUUGCAUCAAAACAGAUUUUUGCACGAUGGCAAGCCAUUUUAAGUGUUUUUGAUUUUGAUAUUGAAUAUAUUAAAGGUGAUACAAAUUUUAUUCCUGAUUUUCUAACUCGGGAAUUUCUUCAAAACAGAUAAUGCCGCCAAAGAAGAAAGACAAAGGUAAAGCUGUUCUUAAAGACUCUGAAUCUAAAGCAAGGAUCACCUAUGAAAUGAAGAGAAAUAGUGAGGAUUAGAGUGGCAACCGCAUCUUGAAUUGGGUUAUUAAACUCAUCCAAAAUGGGUAUUUUAUCCUCAUCGAUUUGUAUGGAAUUUAGAAUAUCUAAUUGUUGCUGUUGGGUGAGAAGAUGAUCCCACCAACCUUUGAGUUGACCUGUAAAACCAGCAAUAAGGAUUUCUGCAAUGGCUUUGUCAGAAGUUCCUGAUUGGGUUUUAUAUGCAUUAGCUGUCAUGGUCAUCUGUUGCAACAAUCCUAAGAUGUUAUACUCAGACAUUCCAUCUAAAUUCCACUCAUAGACAGAGGAUGCAUUAUAUCGAGAUUGGUUUAAUGCACUAGGCCUGUUGUCUGUGGUCAAAUCAGGUGGAGACCUUACAGUGGGAAGGGCUAAUUCCCAAUGGAUUUUAUUGGCUUUAGGAAUAGGUUCUUCCUUAAAGGUGAGUUGAUUACAUUUUCCUUAAAGGUGAGUUGAUUACAUUAAUGACAUUUUCUGUAACAGCAGAAAACGUAGGGGAAGUUGGAGGAGAAGGUUCCUUCUCUUCCUGACUUUGUACAUGUUGAUUACUAGUGUAGAUCAGAUGAGGAACACUAGUGGUGUAAUCAACUUAUCGAAUGGAGGUACUAGGUAUAUCUGAAGUAGAAAACCUAGGUUGACUUUUUAUGGACUGAAAAGGGAGAUUUAUAAUAGAUUUGCUUUGGAACGCGGUUGGUCAAGUUUUAAUAAAGGUACGUGGCGUUGUAUCUAGAUCGAUGCAGAGACAAGUCUGCCUUUGGAACCAGAUCUGACUUAGAACAGAUCAAUAUUCCGCAUGUUCUAGUUUCCAGCCGAUAUACCAAUUAUAUUUAUUUCAAAGCUGGUAAUUACUUAUAAAAUUGGACAAAGCCGACCCAACACAAGCAUUGUUUAAUUUGAGUUUUUAAUAAUUGAUAUUCCAACGAAAGCAUAUAUAUAUAUAUAUAUAUAUUAUAUUAUAUAUUAUGGAUAAGGGCUUUAUAUAUAUAUAUAUAUAUAUAUUAUAUUAUAUAUUAUGGAUAAGGGCUUUAUAUAUAUAUAUAUAUAUAUAUAUAUAUAUAUAUUUUAAAAAAUGUAUAAUAUAUUAUAAAAUUGAAAAAAAAAUUAAACAAAACAAUAAAAAAAUCGGGCAAAGGGAAAGGGCAAAGGUUUUGUCACAAAAUGUCAAAAUUCAUAAAUCGGUAAAUCUCUAUUAGUUUUUUUUUUAUAUUAGUUGUUAAUUUGUAUGUUAUGUACGGUACUUGUAUUGUUAGUAUUUUUAUAUUUUGUGUUGGCUAAUCAUGUAUUAGAGAAUUAUAUUUAAGUUUUUAGCAUAUUGUAGUAUUAUGUAUUGGAUAAUUAUGUUUUGAAAAUUUAUAGUUUUAUUUUUUAAAAAAAAAUUGAAAAUUCGUAAAAGCCCGGGCUCGGCCCGAGGCCCAGCCCAGGCCCGUCAAGGCCCAGCCCGCCCAAAGCCCGCCCAACUUGGAUGGGCUUUGAGAGGGCCUGGACUUAUUUAACAUUAUAUGGGCCUGGUCCUGGGCUUGGCAAAGCCCGGCCCAGGCCUUUAAAUUGCCAACCCUAGUCACACUUGCUCAUAAAGAACCAGAAUCUGUCAAAGAAGCUAUGGAGAAUCCUAAAUGGUUUACAGCCAUGAAGGAUGAGUACAAUGCUCUAAUGAGUAACAAAACAUGGUCUCUGGUUCCUAGAUCAGCUGGUCAGAAAAUUGUUGGCAACAAGUGGGUAUUUAGAGUCAAACAGAAUUCAAAUGGAAGUUUGGCCAAGUAUAAAGCCAGGCUAGUAACUAAGGGGUUUCAGCAGAUUGAAGGGGUUAAUUAUUUUGAGACAUUUAGCCCUGUUGUAAAGUCAGCUACUGUCAGAGUGGUGAUUAGUUUAGCUGUCAUGAAACAAUGGGAGAUAAGGCAAGUCGAUGUAAAUAAUGCUUUUCUUAAUGAAGAGCUGACAGAAGAGGUGUUUAUGGAUCAACCAGCAGGCUUUGUUAAUAAUCAGAAACCAGAUUUUGUGUGCAAACUCCACAAGUCUCUCUAUGGCCUUAAACAAGCUCCAAGGGCCUGGUUACAGUGGGAUUUUAUAAACUCAAGAGCAUACUCUUCUUUAUUAAUAAAGAAAACAAGCAACAUCAUGAUAAUGGUGUUGAUUUAUGUGGAUGAUAUCUUAAUUACAGGUCCAGAUAGUGCAACAUUGGAAACCUUUAUAAUUGAACUGAGCAGAGUCUUUGCCUUGAAUGAUUUGGGUAAUUUGUCUUAUUAUCCAAAGUUCAGCUACUUGAAUGCAAAGGAAUUGAUAUACCUAUGAGCACUAGAAUAAAGCUACAAAAGGAAACUUUAGGUCAUUUUGGUCAAUAUAUUACUGAUCCUACACAUUAUAGAAGCAUUGUGGGGGGAAUGCAGUAUCUGAUCCUAACAAGACCAGAAAUUGCAUUUGUUGUCAACAAGUUAAGCCAGUAUGUUUCCACUCCUACACUGCAACAUUUGGUAGCUUGUAAGAGAGUGCUCAGAUACUUGAAGUCUACUCAAGAUUAUGGACUUAAAUUUGUUCAGCAUGGAGAGAUGAAAAUCACAAGAUUCACUGAUGCAGAUUGGGCCUGUGAUCUUGAUGACAGAAAGUCUGUGGGUGCUUACUGCAUUUACUUGGGAAACAAUCUAAUAUCAUGGUCAUCUAAAAAGCAAUCAGUCAUUGCCAGAUCAAGUGCUGAAAGUGAAUAUAGAGCCUUAGCGUCAACUAGUGCAGAGAUAAGCUGGUUACCAUCUCUGUUUUCUGAAAUUGGUUUAAGCUGUACAGAAACUCCUACUAUCUGGUGUGACAACAUCAGUGCCACUGAAUUAGCUCGCAAUCCUGUUAUCCAUUCGAGAACUAAACAUAUUGAGAUUGACUUACACUUCAUCAGAGACAAAGUGAUUGCUGGAGAGCUGCAAAUUCAGUACAUUCCUAGUGCAGAACAGAUAGCUGAUAUCAUGACCAAGCCUCUCUCAUUUAUUCACUUUAACUACCUUAGAGACAAACUCAAUGUGCAGCUAUAUCCCUUGAGUUUGAGGGGGGCUGUUAAGGAAGCUCAUUGUGCUGAGCUUAUGAAGAAUAGAAAGGUGAAGAAGUCGUUAGUCUCAGCAAGUGAAGUUAGUUAAUCAUGCCAGCUCAGCAGUGCCAAGUCAUCAGAGUUAGUUAUGAAAUAACAAGUCAGCACAAGUUGUUAAAGUCUGUUAUUAGUAAAUCUUGUGUAUAUAACUAAUCUCGUGAGUAUAUAAGUUGUGAUUGAUUCAGUUGUAAAGUGAUUUGACAAAAGUCGAGAUCCAAUGAAAUAAAAAUUUUCUCUGCAACUUUUCUCUCAAAACAAACAGCUCAAGUUUUCUUUCACUUGCAAGUCAGUCAGAUGUUUACGGUUUUGGGAUGGUGUUGUUGGAAAUGGCUGGAGGAAGAAGGAAUUCCAAUAUGAAUGCAACUCGUUCAAGCAAAGCAUAUUUCCCAUCUUGGGUAUAUGACCAAUUAAAUAAGGGAGGUGAUUUAGAGCUUCAGAAUGUUACUGAAAUUGAAUCCAUGAUAGCAAGGAAACUGUGUAUGAUUGGUUUGUGGUGUAUUCAGGUGAAGGCAGCAGAUCGCCCCUCUAUGACAAAAGUUUUGGAGAUGUUAGAAGGGAGUAUUGACAAUUUGCAAAUGCCUCCUAGACCUUUCUUCUCUUCUUCUCGACAUAUCUCUGGAACUGGAAGAGAGAUUGAAUCAGAUUCUUCAGCAGAGUUGUUAGUGUCUGAAUCAAUGGAGGAAUGUUCUUUCAAUGAUAGCUAUGUUUAAUUUUUGCCAAGGAUGAAUGUAAAAUAAAUAAAUAAUAGAUUGCAAUGACAAACGUUCUCUAUCUUCUUCUUGUUUUAUCUCGCAUUGAAACUUAAUGCAUAUAUUUGUGAGUGCAAGCUAGUUUAGUAGUUGAAAUCUCCUACUCAUAUAGGUGGCAAUAGGAUUUAAUUAGACGUGCGCUAUGCUUUAAAAAGAAAAUAAAAGUCUCUCGCAUUGAUUACAAACACUGGAUAGGAGUUGGAAAUUUUAUUCUAUAUUUUUAUCACACAUUGAAAAUUGAUCACAAAAAAACCAAGUCUACACCUUCAUUCAGCCUAUUCUUAUAAUUGUUGUGCACAAAUGUCAUGGAGGACUAGUCUCUUGUGGGGCUGCCAUUGACUUAAAUACAAUGCAUUUUAGCCAUCCAAAUUCCAAAAAUGAGUAUCAUUUGCUCUUUCACAUUAAGAAAUAUAUCCUCAACCAAGAAGGAAGAGUUAUUAAUAUUACACGAAAAAGCAUCCCUAUUUCUCAUUUUCUCCAUGUCACCUGUGCUUAGUUUAAUUCUCUUCCUUCUCUUUCCUUACACAGAAGCCAAAACUUCAGAAGGAAACAACGAUACAAAUAUUUAUGAAUUUUGUCAGCCAACAACAUGCAGCACGAAGGGACCAAAAUAUCAGAUUUCCCUUUAGACUCAAAACUCAACCUAUCUCUUGCGGUCUUGAAGGGUUUGAAUUAUCAUGCUUAAACACCAAGACAGUGUUGCACCUUCCUUCCUCUGGCGAUUAUUAUGUGCAGGACAUUUCUUAUCUUCACAGCAGAAUUACCAUUAUGGAUGUACAUGAGUCCACAUGCCCUUUAAAAACCACCCGAGCGGCUUUGUCAAACUAUGGAUUGACCUAAAAGGGGAGAGCUUAAAUUAAAUAUUUGAAUCUUAUUCUGAUUUUUUUAAAAUAAUUUAUAAGAGUUCAUAAAAAAAAGUUGUAAAUGUGUAAUUUAGAUAAAUAUAAAUACCCAAAUAAAAUUGGGCAAACUUUUAUUUUUCAUGAUGCUUUUUUUUUCCUUUAAAACCAAAAUAAAUUUAGGAUUCAUUUAUGUUUUAAUCACAUGCUUGUUUCAAAAUUUUACUUUCUUACAACGUUUUAUGAUUUUUUUAAAAUGUGCUCGCAUAUUUGUUAAAUUUAAGAAUUAAAGUCCAUGAUAUUAUAUUCAUCUUUAAGUUUCUCGAACAGCUACUUCGGAAGACUAGAAGGAAAAAUAUGAAUAAAAAAACGGAACAGUUCAUGGCUUUAUGCUUCUUUAUGGACUGUGGUUGCCUCAAUGAACAGCCCAAGUGAUUAUUGGGCUUUUAAUUCGGCUCCUAUGAAAAGCCCAAAGCGUCCACGAUGAAGCAGGUCACAGGAGCAGUCCCAAUUUUGAAUCUCUCUCAACUCCUCAAGCGGGGUUUCAUUUUGAAUGCCGCCUUUGGCCUCAUUUCACAAUAUAGAUGUGCAUGCAUGGAGGAUAUAUAUACACUGGGUGUAGUUGUGUAUAUAUAACUUAUAAAGUUAUAAUUAUAUUAUGAGUAUAUCUUUCUAUGUAUGUAUGUAUAUAUGAACAAAUAAAAUAAUAAUUAUACGAAAAUUAACUAGUACCUGAAAAAAGAUCAGUAGAUCACUUCAAUUUUGAGGGCCAAAUAAUGAUGCACGUUGAUGAUGGAAUACAGAGGGCUCAAAGAUUUAAAAUGCGUUUGAUUAAUGGCAUUUUAAUUUAUGUGCUCUCUAUCUUCUAUCAAGAAAAUUUCAAAAAAUUAACGCCCUCUACUUCAAUCAGACCAAACACAUGCACCAAAUACUAAUUAGGAAAAAAAAACAAUCGAUAUGCUUUUGUCUCCACAAUAAUAAAUAGCUGCUGAAUGGCCAUGGAAGCGUGCAUAUCCACAGCGGCACGAAAUUAAAGUACUUGAUAAAUUGUUUACAGUAGCAAGGACUUUGUAUGCAAGAUGCCAAUUAAAUGGUUGCGGGCUCAAAAACAUUAAUUUAUGCAGUGCUUCCCCCUUUUAGGCUAGAGAGAAAUCAAGUCUACAUUACUUUCCCUCAUUUUCUUUUUUGCCUUUGGCAAUAGAUACAUUAUUUUAUUGUUUUUUUAGCACAUUUUCAAUAAGACUACUAUUCCCAUAUCGGUUGCCAAGUUAAAUAGUUAAUCAUUUGAUCAAUAUUUUAUUUUAUGGAUUUGAGUUCGACAUGACGGAUAUUAGAAACCAGUGGGAUACAACAUGACCAACUUUUACAUCAAUACAUACAUUAUACUAAUGCGGCUGUGACAUUUGAAAUAAGCGAUCAUUCGAUUAAAUCCAUUUACGGUAGAACUACAUACCGCAUGAAACGCAACAGGACUCGUUCCAAUGUCACAAAAUUAAUACGAAAACAUUUGAUAGAGAGGAAAUCUCUGCACAAGUGAAUUGCCUUCAUAAAAUAUCAUAGUGGCACUUUGACUCUUGACGGCAAAGAGGGCUGCUCAUAGAACCAAUCUUGAAUCGGAAAUGGAGAGUUCUAAAAACCACAUGAAAAAUUAGCUUACGAAGACACAUCAAAAUGUUGCACCAAGCAUAAGAUUCAAGAUAUCCUUAGCUCGAAUAUGUUGUAUGUAAGUUAAGUGGAAAUAUCAGGACACAUUGAUUUUCUUCCCCUCUGUGUCUAACUAGUAUUAUAUCGUUGGUCUAACUUUUUCCAUCUAUAUCCUGUGUGUGAUGAAUAACAUAUAAAUUGAUCUAAAUUUUUGUCAUAAACUAUACCAUUUGUACUCUUAAUCCACUUGAGAUUAAUGAACGUCGUAUAUGAUUAAAAAAAUUAUUAAUUUCAUCUCUUUUGUUAUUCUAAUAAUCUAUUAUAUGCUGUUAUAUCCCAUGAUCAAACUAUGUAUUCGACAGUUAAUUUUUCAAUAUUAUUUUAUUAUAUAUUUACUUGUUUCCAUAAUCAUAGUCUAAUUAAUGAUUUAUGUUUUUGUUUUUUUGGACUUUGGUGGUCUCAAUACGAAGCCCAACUCAUAUUGGGCAUUUGAAGUUUAAAUCAUUAAAAAGCUCAAUUAGUCCCCUAUCCGCAAGGAUAGACUAAUAUCCUAAUGGCAUAUUAGUGCCGUCACACACGCCUACAACAUAAAAACUUAUCAUGCAUUAUAUUGAACGCAAUUGUGCACACCGGAUCAUAAUUUUAAUUAUAUAUAUCUUUCUUUAUUCAUAAAAAUAAUAAUAAUAACAACAAUAAUAAUUACAACAGCAACCAUAAUUUUUAGAAACGCGUGAACAUGACAUGAGAAGUCCUCAUUCUUCUGCAUGUCGGUCGCUUUAAAAGUGUUGGUGUUGGCGGCCGUUCCAAAUUUCCAAUGCCGCGUUUCUCCAAAUCCUGUUAAAAAAUAAUAAUAAUAAAGUAAGCGAAAGAUAUUGACUGGAAUUGGACUGCAUGGAAACUGUUUCCAAUAAGUUGUAUCGCUGUUAAUAUUGAAGAACGUUUACUAAGAAAUUUGAGGUCAAGCUAGGAUGGGGAUGGAUGGAUCAUCCCAUUCCCACCGAUGCUAACUCAUUUACAAUUACCAGGAAAUUAAGCGACUUCACUUUGCCGUAUUGACUUCCCCUUUGAAAUCUGAAAGCUUCCACCUAAACAAAUCGUGGAAAGAGACUUCAGAAGCUGCGUGGCAUCCGCAUACAAAAUUUACAGUAAGAAACGAAAUUGAACAUGUUUAUCUAGAUUUGUCCCUUUAUCUUCCAUUGCAUUAAUGCUUGAAGCCUAGCACUCAGUAAUUAAAAAUUUUCUUCCAUCGUGUCGAUUUCAUUUUAUGAAUAAUUAAUAUUAUUUUUAAACAAAUUAUUUAGCGCUAAUUAAUUCAAUCACAUAGUUGUAUCCUAAACUAUGAUAAGUUUAUGAAUAAUUAAUAGUAUUUUUAAACAAAUUAUUUAGCGCUAAUUAAUUCAAUCACAUAGUUGUAUACUAAACUAUGAUAAGUUUAAAGCCCGCCUCUCACCGUGCAAGUGAAAAUGUAGAAAACAUAGCGCAUUAACACUUUUAUACCGUUCUACUUAGUUUAUUGAAAUUCGUUAAUUGUAUCCUGGAAUUGGAGGAGCAAUGAGUAGUGACGAAGCUUCAAUUUUCUCAACUUUUCUGUUUUGUCUGUUGAUGUUUGUAUUCAGCCCCAGAGAAAUUGAUGCAAGAAAACUUGAAGUAAAAAUGUGUUCUUCUUCUUGUGGAGAUGUCAAAAACAUAAGCUACCCUUUUCGCCUCAAGGGCGAUCCAGCUGGAUGCGGUCGUCCGGAGUUAGAACUUUCUUGCGAGAGCAACAAAACCAUCUUCGAAUUCAAUUCUGGAAAGUACUAUGUGAAGAGAAUUUCCCAUGAUAAAUGUACAAUCAGUGUUGUCGAUGUUAACUUAGCCUAUGGAAGCUGCAGCUUCCCAUCCACUUCUUUUUCCCCACCUCGUCUCAGUUUCAGAUAUAGUUUUUAUUAUCUUGGUGAUUCAAGGGCCUAUUAUGUGAAUUGCUCGAGUAAUAUUGUUGAUCAGGCGUAUGCGAAAGUUCCAUGUUUGAGUAACAAUCAGUCGAAUGUCUAUGUUUAUGUUGCAUAUAGUUUCUUUGAAACCACACAUCUUCCAGACUCAUGCGCCUUCAUUUCAAAGGUUCCUGUAGUACUUAAUAGGAGCGUGGACAAACUUUCUUAUGAAGACCUCCGAAAAUCGCUGGAGUCAGGGUUCGAUUGGAGCUGGAGCCUCUCAAUGUCUCGCUGUAAGCUUAUGCUUAUAUUUAUUUAUGCAUUCAAAUGCAAGGGCUUUAUUUUUGUUUUCCAAUAUUGUACGUAAUAAAGAAUUUGUGAACUAUCUCUAAGAGCAUACCGAUAUGACCCUUAAUUUCUGUUUCUUUCCACUUUUGCAACAGAUUGCAUCCACAAUGCGGGAGUAGUGGCAAAGAUAAAUUGCCUCUUAUAUUAUAUACGUAAGCAUAUCCUUAUAUAUCUUUUUGAUCAUGUGUUUUCGACGUUAAUAAAUGCGAUGGCUUCAUAUAUUCUCUAAUCUUUACUCUAUAAUUUUUUCUAAAUCAUCUCUCUGAUUAGGAUAAGGCUUUUAUUUUGUUCCCCCCUCUCUCCAAUUGCAGUUUACGGAGUAAUUUACCCAGCAAUCUUUUGGCCUUGCAUAACGUACGCAUCAGGAAUGCGGAAUUGGAUAGCUUUUCUGUUAGGUAAAAUCUCGUCUCCAGGAUCCUCUUUUUAUUGCUUUGUUUACUACUAUUUACUUUCAAAUAACGUUCUCCUUACCAGGGUUUACACUCGAUGUUCUGAAUGUUCUGAUAAUUGGUAGAUUUAUUCUUGCUCCAAUAGUCUUUCUCGUGUUCCUUAUCCACAAAUACAGAACGACAUUGCAAACAGUUGAUAAUAUUGAGAAAUUUCUGCACAACCACCAAUCGUGGAUGCCUAAAAGGUACUCUUACCCUGAGAUAAUUGCCGUGACAAACCACUUCACUCAUAAAUUAGGCCAAGGUGGCUUUGGUUCAGUUUAUAAAGGACAACUUCAUACCGGUCGCUUGAUUGCUGUUAAGAUGCUGGAGAACUCCAAGUUCAGUGCUGAGGAAUUCAUCAACGAAGUUUCAACAAUAGGUAGAAUUCACCACGUUAAUGUGGUCCAGUUAUUGGGGUUCUGUUCUGAGGGAUCCAAACGUGCACUUGUCUACGAGUUUAUGCCUAAUGGAUCACUCGAUAGGCAUAUCUUUCCCAAGGAGAGUAGAGGCCAAUCUUUUAGUUGGGAGAAACUCCACGAAGUUGCUUUAGGAACUGCUCGUGGGAUCGAGUAUUUACACGACGGAUGUGAUGUGUGCAUUCUUCAUUUCGACAUUAAGCCUCACAACAUCCUGCUAGAUCAUAAUUUCAUACCAAAGGUCUCAGAUUUCGGCCUUGCAAAGUUUCAUCCCAAGGAAAAUGAUUUUGUGUCCCUCAGUGCCACAAGAGGAACCAUAGGAUACAUAGCACCUGAGCUGAUUUCAAGGAAUUUUGGAACUGUUUCUUGCAAGUCAGAUGUUUACGGCUUUGGGAUGAUGUUGUUGGAAAUGGCUGGAGGAAGAAGGAAUUCUAAUAUGAAUGCAACUCGUUCAAGCAAAGCAUAUUUCCCAUCUUGGGUAUAUGACCAAUUAAAUAACAGAGGUGAUUUAGAGCUUCGGAAUGUGACUGAAAUCGAGUCCGUGAUUGCAAGGAAACUAUGUAUGAUUGGUUUAUGGUGUAUUCAGGUGAAGCCAGCUGAUCGCCCCUCUAUGACAAAAGUAUUGGAAAUGUUAGAAGGGAGUAUCGACGAUUUGCAAAUGCCUCCGAAACCUUUCUUCUCUUCUUCUCGACAUAUCUCCGGAAGAGAGAUUGAAUCAGAUUCUUCAACAGAGUUCUUAGUGUCUGAAUGGAUUGAGGAAUGUUCUUUCAAUGAUAGUUAUGCUUAGUUUUGGCAAUGAUAUGUGUAAAAAAGAAAUAAAUUGUCCUCGUGCUACCAGAGCUUCUAUAACAUUAUAUUGAAAAAUUUCAGUACGAUUCAUUGUUUGAUGUGAAUAUUCCAAUUUUGCUCGUAUCGACCAGAAUAUGCUGUAGGUUUGUCAUGUGAUCAUGUACAUUCAUCAAACUAUUUGAAACGCUGCUUGCUGCAUCUCUGAUUGAGCUAGAGUAUGCUUUGAACUCUCUGGUCCUGCUGAACUUAAUUUAAAGUACAAUUACCAAAGUAUAUCGUAGACACCUAGCUAUCACCACACAUCCACUUUUACUUAAUAGAUAAUAAUUUCAUCUCACAACAGUGAUUAAUUAAAAGACACAUAGUUCCCAUCAAUCCUAAACACACCCUUGGUCUCCCACUGAUAUAUCAUGGUAAGCGGAGGGUAGCUGCUAGGAAUUACCGGUUUUCUAAAGAACAUUACUUCCUGAUCUUAAAAACAUAAUUUUCUCAUUUCCUACUACAAAUUACUUUCAUAACUCUCACUAAAAUCUAUAUCACAAACAGCAAGUCCCAUCCUGUUCCUCCAUGCAUCUGAUAUUGGCAGAUACUGAAGUUGACUAGUCUCUUUGGGGCUACCAUUGACUUAGAAAAAGGAGAAAAGAGAGAAGGAAAGAACAGAAGAAAUUAAAAGAAACUCAUUUUCCAACCUUUUUCCAUGACAAAUUGACAAUCAAACUCUCCUCUCCCUUAUUACUCCAAAAGCAUAACUCAAACUCUGCUCUAACUCAAACUCCGCUCUCCCUCUCCCUCCAUGUCCCUCGUGAUGAGUUUAAUAAUCCUCUUCCUCUUCUUACCUUACACAUGUACAUUAGCCAAAGCUUCUGCAGAGGACAACAAGACAGAUAAAUAUGAAUUCUGUCAACCAACAAAUUGCAGUAAUAGUAGCCCAAGUAUCAGAUAUCCCUUCAGACUCAAAACUCAGCCAACAUCUUGUGGCCUUGAAGGGUUUGAAUUGUCAUGCUUAAGUGACAAGACAAUCUGGCAUCUUCCUUCCUCCCAGGAUUAUUAUGUCCAAGAAAUUUCUUAUCUGGACAGCAGUAUUACCAUUACAGAUGUGAAUGAGAUGGCAUGCCAGUUUCAAUUUCUUAUCUCUUUCAACCUCACACACUCCAAAUUCUUUUUUCUUCCCUUUAACAAAAGUUACGCUUUAUGUAACUGCACUUCGAAGGCUGCUGUAGAAUUAGAACGGACUUCUGUUGAACUAAUUGCACCGAUCAAUUGUCUUAGCAAUGAAAACAAUUAUGUGUAUGCCAUAUAUAGCAAAUAUUCAAUGGAGGAUAUGCCUCCAUCUUGCAGAAAAUCUGGAACAGUUGAGAUUCCUGGUAGAUUACCUCUGCAGGAUAUUGCAACGACGGCGAGGGCAAGACCAGUAGUCUUAGGAUGGGAAGCUCUUGAUGGAUGCGACGACUGCGAAAAUUCAGGGAAUUAUUGUGGGUUCAACACUACAAGCAAUUCGACAAUCUGCGUUGCCGUUAAACACCAAAAACGUAAGUAACCAAAUCUUUUCUCAGUCACCUCUCUCUACAGUGCUUGAAAGUGAAAGCAUCGUCUCUAUUUAGCUAACAAUAAAAAUAAUAAGUUGAAUUUAUUAUCAUUGUUAUAUAUGCCGGAAAAUUUAUCAGAGCAGUGUAAAUGAAAAGAAAAAA